Molecule: long non-coding RNA, 50786 nt
Filed under: Cucumis sativus (cucumber)
Lineage: Eukaryota; Viridiplantae; Streptophyta; Magnoliopsida; Cucurbitales; Cucurbitaceae
Description: long non-coding RNA (CSAT_LNC002110)
Rfam family: tRNA (bases 34600-34673)
Source: RNAcentral
UGCACAAAAGGUGACUGUGAAAGGAAAUGUAGAGCGCGAUGUAGUUUUCCAAACUGUUUCAAAAACUGGCAAGAAGACUGCCUACUGGGAAGAGGAUGCCUCGGCAGCACCUGCAGCGACACCAGCACCGGCUGAAGCAGAAGCUAAACCUGCCGAGCCCCUGGCCGCUAUUUAAACUAUUCACCAUUUACAUAAUGGAAAUUUUCUGUUCAAUGCAUAAGGUCUUUAUUUCCUGAAGCUAAUAAUAUUGUAAUUGUAUGCAAAACUUGUCUAUUUAGUCUAUGUAAUACUUUUAUUUGAGCGUCUCUUGUAUGACCGUCUACGUUAAAUCUUAACCAUAGUCUACAGAUAUAUAUAUAUAUCUGUUUUGCCCAAUCUCUUUGUUCCUUUCGACGUUUUGCUUUCGUAUAUAAUUAAUUGGCGACUCCAGGGAAAGAUGCCUUCAAUGGCUGUUAUUGUUGUUUGAAAUUAUUCAUUCCUGCUGAUACAAAUUUGAUGCUGAAUUGGGAAGUUGGUUGAAUUUGUAUUUUGGUGUUUGAGUUUAUUUUACGUUUGUUGGAUACUGAACAGAGUAAAAGAAGAUUGAUAGAAUAUUAGAAGAAGGUUUCGUUAUUUUUCACUUCGUAAUAUGACCAACAAUAUUUAUAAUUCUAUGGAAACAUUUUCAAAAGGUAGAAUAUAGGAUUUGAUUGCUUGAGUUCACGUCCUUCUCAAUUUGGUCUAUUGCCAUUUUAAAAAGUUUGAUUUUUUUACUUUUAAGGUAUGCAAACCUUUCCAUCCACAUUUCUUUUAAAAUAAUAUAAAAUUACAGUUCAUAACAAUUAUAAGAAUAAUAUUUAAGAAUCUUCCAAUACUUUUAAAAAAUUACAAAUAAAAUAAAAUAAUUUAAAUAAAUUGACUUUUAUAGUUUAUAAGUGAAGGAUGUAUUUCUAUAUAGUUUAUAAGUGAGUGAUAUAUUUUUAUAGUUGUACUUGUAAUUUAUACUAAUAUUUUGAAUUUAAUUGUAUGUUUGCAAUUAUUCGUAAUAUAUAUAUAUAUAUAUAUAUAUAUAUGUCAAUUGAAUGAUGAACUUUUAAUGAUCAUAUUCUGAAAUGUUUAAUUUAAUUAUAGUCAUUUAAAAAUUAUGUCUUGUCCAUUAGGGUAAUUUUUUAAUAAAUCAGCUAAUAGAUUAUUAACGAUGAUUAAGGGUUUGCUUGAUGAACUCACUAAUAUAGUUUUUUCAAAAUUGUUGCGUUUAAAAAAUUAACUAUCUCGUUGAAGAUGUGAAAUGUUUUAUUAGUUUAUGUUACCUCAUUUUUUAUUGGGUUGACAAUAAUUUAAAAAGGUUGACAUCUUAUGACAUAUUUGAAAAUAAUUUUAAGAAAAUUAAAAUCGUUUUUUUUUUUUUUUUUUCACUUAAUACAUCACUUCAAUCUCAAUUUUGACAGUAUGAAAUUGAACUUAAAAAAUGUAAAACCAAAUAUGAAAUUGAUUUUAAACGAUGAUGGCAUAUAUGAAAAAAAUUUAAAUCAGUUUAUUUUCGAAUAUAGGAUGUGAUGUUUAUUAAUUAAAAAAGCAUUAUUUUUACUUUACAAGUUUUUGUUUUUCAAAUUCUAAAUAUUCAUACUGAAAUGAUAAAAUACGAUUACCUUUGAUUGAUUGGUGAAAAAAACCACAUUAUAUUGAGGCUUUUUACGAAUAGUGCGUUGUCCAGAAGCCUCAAGUUACAGGAAGCAAGUUUUCUACAAGUAUUUGGCUCUUCUUUAGGUAGUUUUUCUUUCUUUUCUUUUUUUGGCUGAUUUCACGUGUUGUUGGAAUUCGGUGGACUGCUGGACUGGGCUAUCGGAAGCUUAAGGGUUCAGAUCGAGACGACAUGACCAGUCGUGGAAUGCAUGGAGCUACAAGGAUGUGAUUAACUUUAGCGACCAAUCUCUGUUUUGUAAAGUGUCGAUUGAUAGAAUCAAAUUACACGUGGAGGAAUUUGUCUGAGAUCAUCCAACAAGAAAAUGAUGAUCUUCCAAAUGGCAAAAGGGUCGUUUUGGUGGUUCGUGAUUCUUUGGGAUCUCUCAUCCUUGCUAACUCUGAGAAGACAUUUCUCAAUUGGUCCAUCAAGAUCCUCAAAGCUUUCGUUGUGGUUAGAAGUUUGAAGGAUUGUUUUUCCUCGUAGGUCUCUCCCCCUUGUAUUAUCAAGUGUCGUUUUAUCGAGUCUAUUUGCAAUUUAAAUAAUUUGUUUGUGAAACAGUUUGAAUCGUUGGACUUUAUGCGGUACAUGCGUGCUACAAAUGGAUUAGCCCAUUGUUUAACAUAGGUUUCUUUGGUUCAAUAAUACCAAUAGUCUAGAUUCUAACUUGAAAGGAGGUUGAAGACCACGAGUGUUAAGUAUGUCCAUCGCAUUUUUUACCUAGAUAAAAAAGAAUGAAAACAAACGUCUACAAGUAACUACUUAACCAAUAGUUUAUUUGGAACAACCAUUAAAAAAAAAAUCUAGCGCGUUUAAACACAUAUUUUAAAUGAUUUUUUAGAAUUUAUUUUAAAGAAUGAGAUAUCUACAAAGUCAACGUAUCUAUGAUAUACCACUAUUUAUGCAUAUCAUAAUACAAAUAGACAUAUGAUCAAAAUAUCUUAUAUUGCAGUUUAUACCAUACAAUUCAUCCAACAAAAACAUAUAAAAUCGUAUAGAUACAAGCACUUAAGCUAAUAGAAAAAAUUGGGUUAAAUCGUAAAUUUAGAUCUCAAACUUUAUAAAAUAUAUUAGAAUUUAAUCGACAUAGAAUGAUAAAAUUAUUAGAGAUAGUCCUUACAACAAAGAGACAUAUAUAAGAAUUCUAUCAAAUGGGAAAAUGUAUUUAUGAGUUUUUAUUAAAUCAUAAAUACAAUUGAAAACUAAACAUACAACAAAAAUGAUACCAAUUAUUGAAAAUCUAUCUGCAUGGAACAAAAGAAACCUUUAGAAUGGAAAGUUGGAGGAGAAAGACAAAAUAAAAUAAAAUAAAGCAACACAAAUGAAUAUAAAAUUAUGAGAAUAGUGGUUAUUUUAGUACCACUCAUUCUCCUGUUACUCAACUUUUACAGUUGGACCAUUUAGAAUUAUUUUCCAAAUCUCUAUAACUUAAAUGUCACUUUUAAAACCUCAGAGACAAAAUAUACAAUAACAAAAAACCUUACGAAAAGUGCAUUUUGCCCUUUAUCUUUUCAAACUACAUCUACCAAAUUUGUAAUUGAACACACAACUCAUUAUCGUUCAGAAAAAAAAAACUCUGUUGCAAUGCAUUUUUAAUCGGUAUAGUUGCAAAUAUAAUAAUUAUAUUCAAAACAAUUAAGUAUAUAACAAUAUUUUAAAAAAUUUGCAAAACCUAGAGUUGAUAGAAAUAACUCAUAGACCAUGUUGCAAAUAUUAGUCUAUCCGUAAACAGAUAUAUAAAUAAAUCGUAGAUCCAACGAUGUGGACUUAAGGUGGGUUGGAUUUAAUGGGCCUAUCAAAUAAGGCCCAAUUUAAAUACCGUCGGCCCAAAAGCUUGGUAGUUGCGAAUUCUUCGUUCGGCUUGAAACUUCCAACUCCACGAAAAGGAAAAUCAGAAACCCUACUUCUCUCCGCUAUAUAAUAUAAAUAAGAAGCCUUCAAUAACGUUUACAGAACCCUAAAUAAACUCUCUCUUUCUCCAUCUUCCGUUUCCGAUUUGCAGUCUGCAAAGAACGAUGAAGAUCGUUGCUGCUUAUUUACUCGCCGUUUUGGGAGGCAACUCCAACCCAUCAGCUAAAGAUUUGAAGGAUAUUCUCGGAUCUGGUAAAUUUUCAUCUCCCUCUCAUUUUCCCUUUAUGUUUUCUUCGAUUCUAUAGUUUUUUGUGGACUUCUGGAGAAUUUAUGUGCUGAUGUCUAGUUUUUGGUGUUUAUUUGGUUAGUAUGUAUUGUUAGUUUUAUAGUAAUGUUUCUUAUUUGGUAUCUUGUUAUUUUACUUGCUUCGUUGCUAUUCUCUGCCAUUUCGAACUAUGCAGUUUCGUCUUUAAUAGUUUUGUUAUAGCUAUAGUUAAUUGUUCUACCUCAUUUUGGGAUUGGGUAACAAUAAGAAGAAUGUUUGUUAUUUGUGGCUGGACAUCAUUAGAUUUUAAUUAUAUGAAACCUCUAAUUAUUGUACUUUUCUCGAUGGUUUAAGAGAUUGGAGCUGCAAUACGUUAUGUUAAAUUACAUAUGUCAGACUAUUAUUUGGUUUUGAUCUUAUAUUUGUAUGAAAUGUUAAAUCUUAAUGACUCUUAUGCUUUAUUCCCAGUCCUGAAGUCAUGUUAUACUUCUGAAUUUUAUUUCUCACAUUUGCAUUGAAUAUGGAGUUACAUUGUAGUCAAAUAUGUUGAAUGGGGUCAUAAUUUAUCUUUCCCGAACCGUUUUGCAGUUGGAGCUGAAGUUGAUGAGGAAAGAAUUAAUCUUCUGCUCUCUAAUGUUAAGGGUAAGGACAUUACAGAGCUCAUCGCAUCCGGAAGAGAAAAGCUAGCAUCUGUUCCUUCUGGUGGAGGUGCUGCUGUGGCAGUUGCUGCCGGAGGUGGUGGUGGCGGUGCUGCUGCCCCUGCUCCAGCUGAAGCAAAGAAAGAGGAGAAGGUUGAAGAGAAGGAAGAAUCAGACGAUGUAAGCUUCCUUCGUUUCUUGGAAUUGCAUUUUAAACAGUUGAAAUUUUUGCACCUAAAUAUAUUGUAGAAAAUGCUAAAAGAUUCUCCACCUUAAAAAACACCCAAUGUAGGUUUUUAAUUGAUUCUGUGAUAUGUUCAGCUUCUAAACACUACUUCCCUUAGGUUUUUUUAAGAAUGAACUGCUCACGAUUUAUAAUCACUAAAGAAACUUGUUUUUCAAAAAUUGUUUUUGCUUUUUGAAUUUUGUUUGAUAGUAUGGGGUUCAUUUUAAAACUACUAGGGUAGAGUAGUUGUCCAUCUAUCUUAUAAACAGUUUGAUUCUUGUUAGUUUUUUCUAGGGAUUCUCAACAUGCCCCAUCAAGAUCUUCCUCAUCUUGAUUGGGUCUCAAUUUAGGACCGAAUGCUUGUUUGGAUAUUGUGUGCUGGGAUACCAUAUUUGAUAGCUAGCAUUAGUCGAUGUAACCUUAUAAAAUGAACUGGUAAUGUGGAAAGCCACAUUUCAAAAUUUUGAAUGGCAAUUCACAUAAACUUUAAAUUAAUGAAGUGUUUGAAAUGGCUAUCAUGAAUCAAUCAAAAUUUUCUCAUCUAGUUUUCUUUAUUUGUAUCUUUGAGAAUCAUUUUUAAGUUCAUGUAAUUUCUUCUAAUUCCUUGUUUAAUUUUUGUUUGCAGGAUAUGGGCUUCAGUCUUUUCGAUUAAGUAUAAUAACAAAGUUGAAUGUUCAGAGAUUCUUCAAGAUUUUAGAUUUUGGAAUUUUUGUUUUUUCACAUGUAGUGUCUUAACAUUAUCGUGGUGUUAUGAUGAGCCUAAUGUUGUACUUUUAUUUUAAUUAAUGAAUUUUCUUCGUAAUUUUUGGAUGCUCUUAACCAUCUGUUUUAUAUGAGAGAAAAUGGAAUUGCCGCAAGCGAUCGUGAAGGUGAAACUGCGAAGGUAAAGGUUGGUAAAUUUCUACCCACCUGAUAAAUUUUAAAGUUCAUUAAUUAAGAUUUUACUUGCCAUUUCUUAAAUACGUUUGAUUUUGGAAGCAGAAACUUUCGGAACUAUUGGACUCUAUCGUGCUUUAGAGAACUGAUUGUGAAGUGAUAACAAAUUAAGUGUUUUUCAAAUUUAUGUUUGAAACUUAAUUGUUUGUAUAGAGAUUUUUUUAAAAUUUUAAGAUUAAGAUAAUUGAAAUUUGAUAAUAUAAAAUUUGUUAGAGUAGUCGUUCGGGAGCUGUUUGAAUUGAUGGAGUUGUGAUCGAAAUAACAUUUGCUGAAUCAAGGUAGUUUCUUUGAGACUGAUUUCAGAACUUUGGGCAAAGAUACCUUGAGAUGAAAGAUGAAAAUAAGAAUGAUUUGGAUUUUGGACAAAGUUGUCUGUCCUCAGAUUGAUUUCGAGAUGGAAAAUAGAAUGAUAUAGAUUUUGAAAACUUAGGGUAAAAUUGUCCUAUGAUCACCCGAGUUUGAGGGUGUAAGAGAAUCGUAAUAAAAAGAAAAUGGUAGAAUUUUAAGUCUAAUUUUCAUGAAUUGGGACUGAAAAUUUCUUGAUUAACUUCAAUAUUUUCAUAAUCAACAGUUCUGAUACAAGAAAAUUUUGAAUAUUUGAGAUAAGCAGAACUAAAUUUACGUUUUACGUUUAUUCAAGCUUAUCACUUUUUCUGCUUUCUGAACGGUAACCAUCACACGUUCACAGUGUUUGCUUUUUUUUUUCCCUUUAGUUCUUACCUUUCUUUUACUAGAAUUUAAUUCAUCAAUUGAACAUGAACUCAACCGAUUCAACUCAAAAAGUAAUAAAAGAUAGUGGGGUUGCCAUCUUUUUUAAGAGUUCUUUGGACUGAACUGUUCAAAUAAUUGAGGUAUGCCCUACAAAGAUUUAUUUUAUUCAUGAUAAUAAAUUUACCACUUUUCGCAUGAAGUCCAUGUUGAUAAGAUAUAUUAUCUCUAUACAUAUGUGAAUAAGCCUCCUACAAACUUGACUUAACCACUCAACAAAUGGUAGAUAACAAAUACGCUACAACUACCUAUAUGAAGUAUUGAAUUUUGAUAUACGCUAUAACUUAAACUAUGUAGGUCGGAUUUGAGUUCUUCUGACCGCGCUUUCUUUUUGGGCUAGAACUAAUCAUGCAAGAGAAGGCAUUAACAAGAUCCGAAUCCUCGGCUGUUAUUAAAAUGUUGGCCUUACUAGGUUCGGCAAGCAGGAGCUUGCCCACGAGGUAUCCUGCAAUUGACCAUGUUUGAAAUAGGCGUGCUUGUUUCCCAAUGAACCUUCCUUUUUUCGUGUCGUAAUAUUCGGGCCACUUGUCUCUAGACAGACGUCGCUCGGCAAUCUCAAUGGCUUUUGAUGCAAUUUCUGGUCUGUUCAUCUUUAUGCAUGCAACUGUGAGCUGAGAAGGGUAGAUCAAAAAAAUACUUCAACGUUGUAUUUCGCAUUCUCAUGUCCAAAGACAACGGAAAUAAAUGUAGAGACAUACAUAGUAUAUGCCUUUGUUGUCAAAGAAUAGCAAGUCUUAAGCCAAAAUUUAAACAGAUCAGGUUGCAAAAUGAUAGUUGUAGAGGAAAAAGUGAACUUAGGAUACUAAUUGAGUAAUGGAAACCGAUAAAGUGCUUCUAAACUUCAAAUUCUGAUAACAUUUUGCUGCCCUUUGAAGGGUUCUAGAGACUACUAAUAAGAUCAGAAAUCUGACUUGAGAGUUGACAUACCUGCCACAACAAUGUUGGCCACGAGCCUGCAUUGUGGUAUGACCAUGGCCUGCAUUAACAGAAACAAAACGCGAUAUAAAAAAAAGAGGAAGCAUUUUUUUUUUCCUUUAAAUGAAUCUCACAGUACGAAGUCAAGUAAAUUACGUGUUCUUGGGGUCGCUGCCAGUGAUGAUCUGCCAUUCCUGACCUUCAAGAGCAGGGUAACAAAUUUUGAAUGGCAUGUCUGAAACUAAAUCCCCCCAUUUGGAUUCAAUGAGAUCCAAAAUGGCGUGGGAUUGGCCUAUUGUAGUAAGACUACUUACAAUGGACCACAAAUUUCCGAGAGAAAAGAACCGGAAAUCCAUGUGAGCCGGUUGCAGAUUUCCGAUCAGAUAACCUCCUUUAGUAGGCAUCCAAUCCACCAACCAAGAAGGAAUUUGAUCUGGGUAGAUGUUGAAUUUGUUGACUGCAUCGUAUGAAUACUCUUCUGUCUUGUAACGAUAAAUUUCAUUUAGUUUUUGCAAAUCGACCCAAUAAUACUCUCUGAUAUGAAAUGAAAGAGCCACCAGACGAUUGUUAAGUGCACGGAUAAGAUCAGCUGAUCCGUCCUCAGGAGUAAGCAUCUCACGUGCACAAACUAAUGCUGAAUAAAAAAGUGCCUACAAAGGAGAUAAAACGAACAUUUAAUGACCAGUGUAACUUAGGUGCAAAACGUAAAAACAUUAAUUUCUAUGAAUGCAACUGCAAAAUCAUACCACAAACCGUUAAUUACUUUAGAAACAACUGCAUGAGGGGGGAGUUAAAAAAAGAAAAAGAGGAAUACAAGAAUAUACAAAAAAUAAAGCAAGCAACGAAGACCCCACUGUAGCAAGGAAUUUAGUAAAGGAGUAACAAAAAAAUCGGUUCAAAGGGAAACGUGAAAUCUCACCGAGAACCAAACAUCACUAGAGUCCCUUUCCACACCUUUAAAAACUCUAUUAUUUCUCUUUCCAAGAUCCUACCACAAAGAACACACCCCCGUAGCAAAACAAACUUUUACACAAAAAGGCGGAUGGAGGAGGAACUCCCCAAUUGAGCCACGACAAUUGAAGGUAUUGUUGCAAUAUCUUGGCUAUUCAUGAUUACUAAAUCCCCUUUCCUCGUCUUACAUUUCAAAUGCCAUGGCAACCACUGAAUAUAUUAAUGGCAAAACUUCUAGAACAUAAGCAAUUACAAUUAAAUUGAUGAUUUCUUACUUGGAUUUCAAGAGGGUGACCAUGAAUUCCCAUACGACGAUCUAUCAUACAAGAGCCAUCAGUUACCAGUAAAGUAGGGAACAUAUCGAAGCCAUCAGCAAGACAAAGCCUCAAUAUCAUUUUGAUCCCAGUUUGGACAUCAACUCUCUCCUGAACUGAGAGAUCACCAGAGCAUUUUCCAUAUGCACGCAAUAAAAUUAUCCACCAUAAUCCUAAUAAGAUAGAGAAGCAUACGUGUGACCUUUCAGAUAUUGAAAUACAAUGAUAAACUUUUCUUCUAAAGGAAAAUGGAAAUACUUGAUGGUCUUUGUACCUGAGUCAACAGGAGCAACACGGCCAAUCGCUGCCUCCCCAAAGUCAGGAUCCAAAACCUCUUCUGUUGCUGAAUCAUCACCGUCUAAAGGAACUGUUCGGACCUUGAAACUAGCCGGCAUCAAUCCUUGACCAGGACUGUGACAAUCCAUAGUUUUCUCCCAGCUCUGGGGAAUAACAAAUCGCAAGCAUUAGUCAGGGAAGUAAAAACAAUGGAAGGUAAUUAAAAAUGAUGUUCUGAUGUAUGUAUGCUUAGAUACCUGCAACUGAAGCGUGUGGAGGAUAAAAUUGCGAACAAUAUCGUAUUCUCCCUUCAAUAAAAAAGCUAUACCAGAAGGUAUGAAAUCACGUAUAAAGACCUGAUCAUAAUUUAGUAAAUUAGAACUAGUAGGGUCCCUUGCAGCAAUUGUUCCAAUUGGACUGUUACAGUAAUAAACAAUGGAUUCCCGAAGCAAGUCCCACGCCUCAUCCUCAAUCGACUCAAUACUAAUCUUAUGAAAAGGAUCUCUAACUGCUCCAUUUGUGCCAUUCUCCUGUUUUGCAAACUGAACAUCUUGAAACUCCAAAGCACUUGAUCCAUUUGGUGUAUUGUUGAUUGGACGCGAUGUCUCUGCACCAUCCCCAAACCAUGUUCCAUUUCCACCUUCUGGAGUCAUACCACUUGUGCUUUGUGCUUGUUGGCAUCUACAACUGUAUAACGGACGACGGUUACAUUUCGAUUUCCCACUAAAGCUUGUUCCUAUCCCCUGUAAUAGCCUACUUGAGCAUUUUGACAAAUUCCUAUUGCUCAAUACCCCCUUCUUCUUCACAAAUUUCACUCGCGAUAAAAAAGAAAAUGUGGAGUCGAAAUUGCUCGAACAUGGGGUUGGACAUACAGCCCGAGGUACAACCCCUGAAAAGAUUUGCAGGGCUGCUUCCGAUGUGCCCAUCUCUGAAGAAAUUACCAAGCCCAGAUAAUCUGAUCUGUAUUAAACUUUUUCCAAUGCCGAAGAUGGGCUAUUGAUUUUUCAACUUCACUCGAAGAACACAGAUAAUAUCUGCACAAAAAUCAUGAUCACAUUAAAAAUAGAACCUCAAACGAGUGAAUCAAUCACAUCCUACAAAAGCUUAUCUUAUCACAUCAUAUACUUCUUUAACUUCCAGCUCCAAGGAGAAGAAAAACAGCUGAAAUAAUACAAAAAUUUAAGGCCAGAAAGUCUAACAGCUACAUAUCAAAUCCUCAAAACCUAUUUACAAGAGAAAAUGCCAACAGGAAACCUGAACUUGUAUUAUUACUUUCUUCUAUCAGGUUAGCUAAUAUCUACCAAACGAUACACAAUCCAUAGUUGAAACACUGAUUCUAUAAUCUGAUAUUAAAAAACCCACAUCAUCUUCUGCAAUGGAGAUUAGAUUCUAAAAGCAAACGAAAGAUUAAUAACAAAUACCAUAAAAAUGAAAUACAAUAACCUCCAAAGUUCUAGUUUAAUCGCCAAAAACAAAAAUCCCAAAACAGAAAUUCAUAGCAUUAAUCUAAUGUAAAUAAAAAUUUGACAAACUAAUUAGAAAAGAUUUACGAUACUUCGGGGCCAGAUUGAAUGUGCAAAAGAAUGAACAGAGGAAAAAAUGAAAAACACAGAUAGUUGAUUGAACAAAAUCGUCGAAGACAGAAGUAGUAACUCACCGAAUUUUAUGAUUUCAGAGAGAAAAAUGAUUGGAGAAACAGGAACAAAAUUUCGGAGCUUUCGUGAAAGAAGAAGAACAGAAGAAGAAGAAAAAGAUCAACGGGUUAACCAACGAAAUAUAAAGCAUGUUUUUAUUUUCACGAAUCCGUCAAGUGGACGAAAGAGGCAAAAAUCAACCUGUAUUCUUACGUGAACUUUUUUUCUCUUUUUCUCUAAUAUUUUUGUCCACAUCUCUAUGAUUUUCCUUUCCCAAUGCUAUGGUUUUUAUAAUAACAAUUUUUAUGUUUAAGAAAUGAAGAGCUUUAAUUUUUUUUUUAAUGAUUUGUUUAUUAUUUUUCUGUGCCCUAACAUUUUAAAACUCUGUCACCUUGCAAACUUUCAAUAAAUAUUAACACUUUUUUUUAAUGUUAUUUCUUUAGACAAAAAUAGGUCUAAAUUUCUUACACUAUUUUUAAUAUGAAUUAUGAUUGGUUGUUUUUUUUUCAACCACACAUUUUCCUAAAUUUAAGUGUUUUUAAUGUGUAGUAGGAAAAUUUGAAAGUUACCCUUAACAAGAGAAAUUAAUGUCAAUAAUGGUUGGUUUUUCAAGAUAUUUUUGACAAUUUUUCUAAUUUUUUUAACAAAGCAAAUGCAUAGUGUACUUAUAAUGUAAUUUUAUGUUACAAGUUAAUAAUUAUAGUUGAUUUUGUUUAUAUGAAACAACUCGAAAUUAAAAAAUCACAUGUGACAUCUCUUAUGAUAAGGAAGAAUAUAGAUCAACUUUGAUGAUGAGCUUACAUUUGAAAGUUGAAAGUUAAAAGAAAACGUAGAUCGAUUUUUAAUUUUCAAAAACAACAAAGUUUCUCAGUCUUCACAUCCAAAGAACUUUAUAAAACCAUAAAUAUUUUCGCCACUCAUACACGAUAAUGUUUUGGGAGUGAAAAUUGGCUAAAAGACUAUCUACCUUGAGUUCGAAUGAUUGAUGCACUAACUUUCUUGACUUUUGGUUGCAAUUAUUUGUUCUAAAAAAACACAAAUAAAAUGGUAGUAUAUUUCUCUCUGAACAUUAAGAAAGGAUAAAUAAAAAUAAAACAAAAAACAACUUUGAGUUAUAGCUUUGAUUCUCUACCUCCAAUUAAUGUGAAUAAAAUUUGAUGGGUUAAUUGAACUCUUUAGGUUCAAGCUAGAUUGCUCUUUAUUUCAUUAUAUACACUCUAAUUCACUAGACUUACAUAUUUGAAGUCAUUGAAAAAUGUACAUCAACAAAAAUUGGACCAUUUGGAGGUGACAAGAAGAACUAAUUACCACAAGGCCAACUUAUAAUAUUAAUACAAAGUCCGGUAUUAUAUAUGUGUAUAUUAUAUAAAAAACACAAAUUUUUUUAAGGAGUAAAUUGUACAUGAAAAUCCACACAUGUGAAUUAAUGGAAUUUACACAGUAAUGAGAAGUGUCACUUCAAAGAAAAAUCAAGCUAACUGAUCGAACCAAGGGUGGUUGAUUAAACAAAAGGGAAGAUUUGGUUGGUGUUAGUUUGAGAUUGAAAAAAAUCCAAACUGAUAAUAUUUUUAUAAAAUUUAAAAGUCUAAACCAAUCGAUCAAUGAUAUGUUUGUAUUCCGCAGUUGAUUCGAUUGAAAAAUCAACUCUAACCAACCAAUAUUCCUUCCUAAUUUUUAAUAUUUAUUUAUUCUUGUCAAUAAAAAAAUUUAAUUAAUGAAAAAAGAAACAUAAAUAAAUAUUCCAAGAAUUGCACACAAAAAUAUGAAUACACAUUGCAAAAAAUAUUAAGUGAAUAACUUAACAUUUUUUUGAACUUAAUGGCGGGUUUGUGUUUGAUAUUCGAAACACGAUUUCAUGUUUUGCGUACCAAAUACUCACACAUGGCCAAAGCUUUACCACUCACUCAUUGCCAACAAAAAAGCUUCUAUAACAUGUUUGACCACACACUUAUCCUAUUGCUCCCCUUUCACGUGAGGAACCAUAAUAAAUACUCUUUCCUUUUUUCGAAAUUGUGAAAAAGAUAUUCUUAAAUUUUGCUACUUAUUUAGAAAACGAAGUUGCAUCAUUAACCUAAAACCUUUAACAAAUAUUUCAAAAUUGAGACUUGAGGUAUGACAAUAACUUAAACCCGUGUGAAGGUGUGUAGACUUGCAAUUUUCAUUUCAGGGUACUAACAUAUCAUUGAAUAUCCAAUUUCCAUAUAACAUUCUAAUGGAUCUAUGCUUCAAAAAUGGUUUUGAAAGUUAGGAUGAUAUUACAACUUUUAUAAAAAUAGAGAUACUUUUUAAACAAAUAAAAGAAAAAUCAAGAGUAGUUUAACUUUAUAUGUAAAGUCGUAUUUAAGGUAGAGGAUAAGUUUUUAAAAGCUAAAGUUUAAAAAAAGGUAAUAAGAACAACAACAAUGCUAUUUCAAAUAAUAUCAAUAAAAUUUAUUCACAAAAUAUACAUAUUUCUCAAUCAUAAGAGCAAGAAUAAAUAAAACAGAAUUGGAUUGGCAGUUGAUACACUAACUACAAUCUGAAAGUUCAACCAAAGAAACAGAUGGCAAAACCUUAUUAUAGUCCUCAAGUCUGGAUGCUAAGAAGUAAGAAGUGAAAUAAAUAUGGUUCUCAAACAAUGCUUAUCCAUUCCAUGGGGCAAAAUUUUGGUUAAAGGAUAGGUAGGAAGGUUACAAGCAAAAACAGGAAUUCUCACAUACAUAUAUAUGCGUGUAUUUAUAUAUCAUAUAUAUAUAUAUAUAUUUGCGGCAAGAAAUGAAAGAGAGAAGUAUAUUUGGAAAGCCAAUAUUCUGUUAAAAGCCACAUUUAACAAAACCUGCUCUAAGUUUUCAAGAAUCAGAUGGGAAAGAAAAAUGAUAAAAACCACUAAUAAGCAGACACAGCACACUCAUUAUAUAUUUAUGUAUUUUUUUUCUUCCUUUUUUUUCUUUUUCAAAUCACGCAAUUAAAACCCAUAAAAUGCUACACAAUAGAGGAGGCUAUAUAAACACUCUCCUUAGGAGGAUUGGUAGAAGAAUUAGGGAACAAACCCAACAUCUUUGAAGUAUUCAUGCUCAAGGGCAUUCCUGGCAGUGACUCUUUUGGUGGGAUCCAAGCACAGCAUUUUCUGAAACAUAAUGGUUAAAUAUGUCAAGACAGAGAUAUCAAAUAGCAUACACCUUUGCUACUAUAACAUGAAAUUAGUUAUAUUCAUUAUAACGCCAAAGCUCAACUAGGAUAGUGAUAUGUUAAUGACCAAGAGGUCUAUGGUUUCUAAUGGAAGUAAUGUGAACAGGAAAGGACCAUUCUAGUAUUGUAUCAGGCAUCAAAAUUCAAAGGUCUUUACACUAGAGAUAUUAUUAUAUUUUUUAUGUUGAAAAAUAAGAUUGGAGUAAGGGAGCCAGAUACAUACUGUCAGCAUGUUACAGAUUUGUGGUUAACAAGAUUGUUUUCUUUGGAUCAUAGGGGUGUGUGGGAAUUUUGGGAGAGUGGAGCAGUAGAGUGUUUCGUGGUGGAGAAAGAGAUCCUAAUGAGGUUUGGUCUUUGGUGAGAUUCAUGUUUCUCUUUGUGGUUCGGUUUCAAAAACAUUUUGUAAUUAUUCUCUAGGCAAUAUCUUAGUUGGAAACCUUUCUCUUUAUUUUUCCUCAAUGAAAGAAGUUUGUACGUGUGUGUGUGUGUGUGUAUAAAAGACUGCCUCUCACUUCAACUCCUUAAACCAAAAGAAGAGGAAAUAGAGGCAAAUCAACUACCAACACUUAAUGAUCUAGAUCAUGAGAUAUAAAUGAAGAUUUAAAUGAAGGGAAAAAAGUGGCAUACUCUCACUUCACCAAGCCCCAAAGAAAAAAGGUUAUACUUACAGAGAGAAGAUCAAUUCCAGCGGCUUCAAGAUUAGGAACUACAGAAGCCAGGUCCUGUGCAAGUACAAUACGAGCGAACUCAAACAACAAACGUACAAUGAUAUUUUGGUAGGAUAAAAAAAUUAAUACAAUUCAAUUACCUUGGGAGACCACUUGGGGAAAGUAGAUUUAAAAUCAGGCAAAGAUGUAACACCAGGCCACGUAUCUUCAUUUGGAGUUCCCAGAACUCUUUGUAUUCCAUACAAAGUGGUUAGUUGAAAGCAUGAAUAGGUUAGUAUAGACAGACAUAGACUUGGAUGAGAAAUAUUGCUUUAGGUGCUAUCCUAGUCAUACUACUAUGAAUGAAACUCUGGAGCCCAAUCAUACUCUCCAUCAUUGAGCAUUCAUAUAAGGCUGCCGUAGCCAGAUGAACCGGGUUUUCUUGCUUCAUAUGUAUGAGAAACUAUUUCAUUGAUGAAUGAAAUUAUCCAAAGAGAUUAAAAUUUAAAAAAAAAAGGUUCCAUUUAAAGGGAGUACAAAAGACCUUUUGCUUCCUUUAUUUUUCAAAUUCCUAAAUCCUCUCCCCCUCUCUAGUGGAAUAGAGAGAUUUAUUUAUUAUUAUUACUACUAUUUUAUAUUCCACUAAUGAUUGGGUUAUCUUUCUCCAUCUUGACUCUUACCUAAAUAUCCUACAUGGGGGAUUACCAUGGAGAGAUUUUGGUGUAGUCCCAAUUGUAACAAUAUUAUGAUACCAACAAAAUAGCAGGCUAGUAUGUAAUCAAUUAAAAUUUAGCAAAUAGAUUGGACCAUAUCCUCGUAGGAAGUGGAGGACAAAUGCAAAAAAUAAAGCUACUUACCUAAAUAUCUUAAACAGUUCAUCAAUCUCAGAGUCUCCAGGGAACAACGGUCGCUGAUUAACCAUCUCAGCAAAUAUGCAACCCACUGACCACACAUCCACGGGGGUGGAAUAAUGUCGGGAACCAAGCAAUAUUUCUGGUGCUCUGUACCAAAGGGUCACCACCUAGAUGGUUCCUCCAAUUAUUAUUAUUAACUUGAGAACACAACAAUAUAAUAGGUUGAUGCAUAAAAGAAAAAAGUCAUAGACAAAUUGAAUUAUUGGGAAAAAGGAUAAAGAAAAAUGGAAAUUAAUACAUUUUCCAAACCUUAGUAGAGGUUGGUAAAAGGUCAGGAAAAAUGUUCAUAAUGCAUUCUACUUUCACCAACUACAGAGAAACCUACUGAGGUCAUCCUUUCUACUUCUUUUGGGAGGGUAAAAAAAUCAACAGCUUAUUGUCACUAAAUUUGUACUGCGAGGAAAUCUGAAUUUUCUCACUAACAAGAAGAUGAAAGGCGAAAUAAAAUAAAACCAUCAAAAUGAAGUUAUGUUGUCACAGACUAGAAAUCUGAACCCUCUCGAGAUCGUGUUCUCAAGCACACUCAAAAUUCUAUUUCAAACCUGGAAAAGUAGAUGAUCCCAAUUAGGUUUUUCUAGCUUCAUUACAUUUUACGACGUCUGAUCAACUCUUGAACAAAAGGUUACUGAACAUUUUCAAAAACCUUAGAUCAUAUGGCGUUUUCAUUCUUCUGAUUAUUACAUAGGCUCAGAAAGUUACUUCAUGAUUCAAGGACUUCCUCUAUAGAUCGCUGAAGCCAAAGCUAAUCUUUCCUGGCAAUGUUGUCAUUAGAUGGAAAACUUGCCCUAGACUUACCUAGCCAGUUUCCAUAUGGCUCGCUUACACCCAUUUAAUGAAACUCUCCUCAUUAAUUAUGAUUAUCUGAAAGUACAACCAACUGCACAUCAUAUUAGUGCUCCAAAUUAUGUUUCCAAUAUACUUUUUCUGAGGAAUAAAUCGUAUCACAAUGUCUACAUUGGAAGUAAGAAAAAGGGCAAAGGAUACAAAUUUAUAUUCCAUUAAACAAGCAUGCAACGUAAUAAAUUCACACUACUACAAAAAUUGAAAAGAUUAUCAUCCAGUGUAUAUUCAUACCUCAUGCGUGAAUGUUCUAACAGGAAUACCAAAUGCUCUUGCCAGUCCAAAGUCAGCAAGCUUCAGGGCAUUGGUACGACGAUCAAUCAGCAGAUUUUGGGGUUUUAGAUCUCGGUGAAGAACUCUAUGAGAAUGACAAUAUGCAAUGCCACGAAGAAUUUGAUAAAGAAACAUCUGCUUGACAUAAGAGGAAAAAAAAGUUUUGUUAGACAGUCACUGCACCAUAUCGUUAAACCAAGAGUUAUAACAAGAUCGAAGGAAAAUAUGAGGAAAUGAAAGAAAGAAACGAAUCAAAACUGAAGAAAAGCAUCAUGCUGAAUUGAUACAAAAAAUAUAGCAUCAACCUAUUCACGAUAUCAGUUAGGAAGGAGAAGGUAUUGCAUAUACUAAAAAGGAACACCAUGACCAACCUUGACAUAGUACCACAUAAACACGUCAUUUUUCCAAAAAGUUUUUUUUAAUGAUUAAGAAAGCCACAAAAUUAGGCUGUUAGAAAAUAUGUGCGCUUGAUGGAAAAUAAAAAUAUGAUAUUCUAUAGUGAAUUAGUUAUUAUGCCAAUUAAUCAAUCCACCCUCUCAUACUAAAAUAUAAAUGAGAAAUAACAAUCAAUAUAAGUUAACAUAGAGCCCAGGAAAGUUACAAACAAAAAUGCAGCCACUCACUUUUACUUGGCGUGGAUCCUUUGAAAAUUCAGGAGAUGAAUCCAUAUGCUUCUUCAAAUCCAAAUCCAGGUACUCAAAAACAAGAUACAGACGCUUCUCGCUAUGCACUACAUCUUGUAACCUAUAGAGAGAUGGAAAUGAUUCAGUUUCCAGCAAAUUGAUUAUAAAAAUAACAAGAAGGCAGAGUGCAAGUGCCACUUUUACAAGUGUGACAGACCAUUGAAAAGGUAAAUGAUAUCAUGCUUAUAUUUAUUUGUCUAAUUGCAAAUUACUGAAUAAAUGGUAAUCAAUUGAUGCUCCGUUUUAAUUGAGAACUACAUAUAUUUCGGGAUGACCCACAUGACAGUAAUAACGGAAAGAGAUGCUGCCUUUGACAUAAAUAAGUUCCACUUACACAUACUCCACCCCAUAUCCGUGAAUUGAAGAAAUAGUUUCUACAUUAGGCUCCUAAGCCUAAGAGAAGUCAAAACUGAGAGUGGCAGAAGGCGUUUUAUUGCAGCAUUGUCUUCAAACACAACGCUUUUCCAAUAAAAAGACAGGCCGAUUUCAAAAUUUUAACUAAAUUGGAAAGAACCCCUUACAGUAUUGUGCAAAAAUUGUACCACCAUUACUAGUUGAACGAGGGUAGAUAAUUAACAGUGACACGUACCUCACAAUGUUGCCGUGCUGCAUUUCCUUCAACAGUGAAAUUUCACGAAUAGCUGUGCUUGGCACUCCCUCAUCUUCUUGCUCCAAACGGAUCUUCUUCAAAGCAAUAGUCUCAUUGGUGACACGAUCGCGUGCCUUGUAAACUACACCAUAAGUUCCUUCUCCAAUCUUCUCAACUUUCUCAUACUACGAAGCCAGCCCAUAUAGCGAAUAAGAUCGACUAAGAAAAAAAUGAAAAAAACGAAAAAGAAAAACAAGCAUUUCAAAUCCAAAAAAUCAUCACUAACCUGUUCCAUCGAGUCCAAGAAAAGUAUCAAAGUUCUCAAAGCUUAAAUCCUACAAACAACAAGACAAAUAACGAUGUAGAUUUAGUGCAAUACAGACCAUAUAACAUUAUAAAUAACAAAAUGAUGAUAAGAAAGAAAGAAUGUCAGAAACAGCAAUGGACACCACUGAAAAGGCGAAGAAAACAGAUUCGCACAGGUCAAGGACCGGAUCCGCGUUGAAAUGGAGUCAACUCAGUCAUAGUAGACUCGGUUGAACUCACUAGGACCACAUUGGAAGCAAGCAUUUCGAAAACAUAGUUUAACAUCGGAAUUUCUCCAAAGAAUCACUCGUUUUCACUUCAUUCCUUUAUCAUCUUUCCAUUCUUGGAAUUCCAAUUACCAUUAGACAGAAAAAGCAAAGUACAGCAAAAGCAUCUAGGAACCAAAUUAAAGAAAGAAUAACAGAGAGAUGUUGAAUGAAGAAGAUGAACAAACCUGGUUGAAUCAAAGCCGAACCCGUGGGAAUCGGGGACGGUGUCGGAGCGGAGAGAGGCGCAGUAAAAAUGGCGCCGCAGAAGAAAGAAGAAGAAGAAGAAGAGGAAGGGAAGGAAGGAAGGAAGGAGAGUGGGUAUCUAUGUAAUUUCUCUUUGACUGAACUUCUUUUCAAAUUUAUUUAUUAAUCAUUUUAUUGGCUAUUAUGAUUAUCAUUUUUCGAUUUUUAAUUAUAUUUUGCUCCUAAAAUCUCGAACUUAUUAAUAUCUCCUUUUGUAUUCAUUCAUACUUUCAAAUACAAUAAUUUAAUUUUCUCUUUAAUUGGACAAAUGCUAAAAAAAAAACAAAUGUACAGUGGUAGUUAGUAACUAAUUUGUACAUACAUUUUCCAAUCUAUAUAAUUUUUAUAUGAACUUCAAAAAGUUUAUUUACGUUUGAGUUAAAAUUGAAACUUUGACAUACAAUUAUAAAUACAUACGAUAUUACUUUAAAUAUUGUUUAUGAAAAUUACCAAGUAACAAUCUACUUCUACAAGAUAUUUAUUAUCAAUUAAUUAUUUAAAAAUACGUAUAAGUUCAACCUAAUUUGACUACUUAACCAAUACAUCAAAAUGACCAUAACUCAACAAUAAUUUGUAUGACUUCUCAUCUUAUAAAUGGAAGAUUCAAUCCGAUCUCAUAGCAUUUUACUCAAAAAUGUAUAAAAGAAAAUUUAACUAAUAUAAGACUUGUGGUAUAGAAAAAAAAGGACUUUCACACCUAUUGUAAUAUAUAUAUGUGUUAUUGAAAAUUUUGAAUUUAGUUUGAAAUUUGAAAAAUCAGUGUGCCGGAAUUUAGCCAUGAAAGUUAAAAUAAACAUUUACUAUUAAGUUGUGAUUUUUGAGAUUAAAAAGCUAAUUUUGAAAGGGUAAUUAAAAGUCUUAAGAGAUGAUAUAAUAAACCGUUUAAGCGCCAAAAUAUAUAUUAAUAUAUUAAAUUGGAAACCACCUCACCAUUUCACCUUUACUUGCCGUCUGGCACGUGCGAAGACCAAUAAGGAAGAAGGGAGACAAUUACUACUACCUAAUUUGUCUUUAAUUCAAAUUCAUUUAUUUCGAGAAAAAGGAGAGAUGUCCAAAAAUAGAAAAAUAUUGAAACAAAAUGGUAUAUUUUGUAAAUAAUUUUUUUCUUAUAUUUCAUAGCAAUUCCAAAUAAUAAUAAAACCUUUCGUUCCUUUUUUUUUAAGGGAUCAUUUAGUCACUCUUAAUUUUUAGUAUUGAAUUAACCUUUUUUAAUACAAAAUGAAGUUCUUGCAAAUUAUAAUAUUUAACUAUAAAUAUAUUAUAAUUCAUAAACUAUAACUCAAGAGUUAUAAUAUAAUUUUAAAUUGAUGUUCAUGGUCAUUCAAAUAUAUCUUUGUAUUUCUUGUCAUCUCAAAAUUAUGAUUUAAUCUUAUAUUUCAUUGUGAUUUUAUUUUAUCUUUUCAAUUCCAACAAUUUUAAAAGCUUAAAUUUAACUUAUAGAUAUAGUACUAAAUCUAAUUUGAUUUCAUUAUUUUUAAAGUUUAACUAAGUAACAGGUGAGUGUGUGCUAUGAUGAACCGUUAUAAAUCAAAAUAGACUAUUAUAAUUGUUGAUUAAUAUCAUGAUAAACACAUAUAAUAAUCUAUCUUAGUUUGUUGUGACUCGUGAUGGUAUUACAAAUAGAUCAUGAUAUUAUACUUAUUUAUAAAUAUUUUUUAUUUUUUUUAAGGCUGGUUUCAUUCCAUUAUGAUAUGAAAAUAAUGCUCGAGAGUCGAGAUAGUGGGCUGGACCAGAAAUGAUAGGCCCAGAUGUGAUGCCUUUAGGCCCACUAUUUUUCAACUUUCCUUCUCGCUUUUUAAUGCCGAAGAAUAUUUAUUUAUUUUCACAUUAUUAGUUUUCCCAUUUCCUUGUGAUUUUUGGGGCUAUUUAUUUCUCUCACUCUCUUUAUAUGAAUGUCUCUACCAAAAUUUUAAAUAACAGUAAAAUAGAAGAAGAAGAAGAAAAGAAAAUAAAGAAAGUUAUUAUUGAUGUAAACAAUUCAUAUGCCAUUUGCUUAUGGCUAUGGUCUCCUCGUGAUAUGGAUGAAAGUUGGUUUUUUUUUUUUUUUGAAUUUCCAGAUAUCUUUUACCCUAAAUUACAUUAUUCCUUUCAUGUAUUUUUCUCCCACUUUAGAAGCAAUAAAAUAAAGAAUGAAGACAAAAAGGAAUGUUGGUCUAGAAGAGCACAGGAAAUCCUACUCCCGUGGUCAAAAUCAAUCAUCAUAUACGAUUGAAGCUAAGAAGAAAGAAACGUAGACUGGGCAGCCUUUUUUUAGAUUAGUGAUAUUGUUUAUCCUGAACAAACUUCAAAACCCGAAUCAAGAUUUUGAAAUAUUUGCAGAAUUUAUUAUAUUAUGAUGUAUCUAUAUUGCUAAUUAACUAUUACCAAUGUUAAACUCCUAUCAUCGAUAUUGUUUAUCAUUAAUAGACUUCAAAAUUUUGAAAUAUUUGAAAAUUCUUUUACAUUAUGUUUAUCAUGAAUAGACUUCAAAAUUUUAAAAUAUUUGAAAAUUCUUUUACAUUAUGUUGUAUCUACUAAUUCAUUAUACAUAAUUGUUAUAGUCGCAACUAUCUCUACAAAUAAAUAAGAAAGUAUAUGCUUUGAAGUCUAACCUUGUUUUUAAGUAAAUUAAUAGAUUUUGUUUGAUCAAACUUUUCUAGUCAAACAAUCAACAAGAAGUCCAAUGUGGUCAAUAAAAUGGGCACUUCACAUUUAAGUGCUUAAAAAUGGCAUUUUGAAGCAUUUGAAAUGCUUUGACAAGUCAAUUCCAACUAUAACCUUAAUUUAAACGUUGCCCGAGAAUGUAAAGCAAGAACAACGUCUUUUUCUUGCUUGAAGCAAUAUUUUUGGCUCAAUCACCAAUCAGAAGGAUUCUUAUUUAAUUUCUCGGCCAGGUGGGGAAAGCUUUCCCUUCAAUUUUGACAACCUAACCACUUAGGGCAGAGAGACCAACAAUAUAAUAAAUUCAUGAUAAUACAAUUAAAGAGUGGAGAGAAUAGAGUUUUUCAUUUUAACACAGAAAAACUAAAAUUUAAUCCAUGCCAACUAACCUCAACAAGAUCUUAGCUCAUAAGAUCUUUGGCAAAUACUUACCAAAAAGAAUUUAAAAAAAAAAUACAUCCCUCAUAGUAGCUUCAAAUCUCCAACUUUUGUUUGAGAUAGAGAGAAAAAAAACAAUUAAUUAAUGUAUUGAGCAAACAAUAUGGUAAUUUGUGAUAGAAAUUUAAAUUUGGCUAAAUUUCUCCUUUUUCUAGAGAUAUAAUUGCCCACUGACAUCCCUCUAAAACAAAUUUAAAAAGGGAAGAAAUAUUCAGACAUUCUCAGGGUAUUUCAUAUGUGUAAUCCCUUUCAAACAUUUUCCAAGAAAAAACAAACCUGUAGUUACAGAGAGAGUGCAUUGGAAAGAAAGUUUUAAAGCAAAAGCAAAAGGUGAAAAGCUCUGGCCAUCUAAAAGCCCACAACCAGACCGAUCAAUAUCACCAAAGCAAACAUGUAUAAAGAAGAAAUAGGCUUGCUUUCCGAGGAGCUGUGGAAAAGAAAGAUCAUUGAUUAGCAGACGAAAUUUAUAAGAAAAACAGAAAAUUAUGACGAGUAAGAACGGAGGCGGAGGAAACGAGGAUAGAGUUCUAUUGGAAGGAAGUAAUGAUCGGAACGAAGAUGAAACGGUGUCUAAGCUCACCGUAUCUACAUUGCAAGCUAGAGAAGAGGAGAUUGAGAGGAAGAAAAUGGAAGUAAAAGAGAAGGUUGAACUUCAGUUAACCCGUGCAGAGGAAGAAGCCAAACGGUUGGCACAAAUUUGGGAAGUAAGUUUUAUAAUUAAUCUUUCACGAAACGCAUGUAAACAGAGUACAAGGUUUUAGCCUCUUUUGAUCGCAGAAUUAUAAUGUAAAUUCUUAUAUUGAUUUGAGUUAAUUUAUUUAUGAAGAAACAAAAGAAUUAGUCUUAUGUAUGACAAAAGGUUCAUGAUUUUGAAAAGAAAAAAAAAAAGACGACUUGAAAUCAAUAGGAUCAACAAAAUUUGUUCCUGGAAUAAAACUGUAACGGAGUGGAAAAAAAGAACUCGGAAUUUCGGAAUUAUCACCAAAAUUCUGUCUCCUCCUUUUCUCAGUUCAUUAUAAAAUUUCAAUCUUCUUCAUUUUAAAUUCAACACACAUUAAGUGGAAAUGGAUGAAACUAACUUUUUACAAAGUGGAUAAAAAAGAUUAUGGGGAAACACCAAGAGCUAUCCACAAAGAAAAAGAUAGGGAAACAUUAGAAUCUAGAUUAAUGUAUUUAUAGUUUAGUUUGAACAUCCAAGUUCGUGUUAAUUUUCAUGAGAUUCUGUAAAACUAUAAUUACACUUUUCAUUUGGGUACUCUUUCCAAAAUUUAUGGAAGACUGAAAAGGGAUUUUUUUUAAAAAAAAACUAACCAUGUAGACUAAUUGUUAGAUUAAUCAAUAGUCAUGAACUAAAUUUAAACAUUUUAAGUGAACAUGAACUGAACACAUUAAAAGAUACGAGAACUAAAUUAAAAUUUCAACCCUAAUUAAAAAAAAACAACAAUUAUCAUAGAAUUGAAUUUUGAGUUCUCGGAUAUGAAAUAAAAUCUCCAAUGUAGAAAGAAAUAUGCAUUUUUUUAAAAAAAUACAUGGAACAUAACCAAUGUUGUGGAUGAUCAAGGAGCUGGAGGUAAUGGGAGAUCCAAUGGGUAAGGAAGUUGGUAAUGUGCGAAAAAGAAUUGACACAGUCAAGAGAGAACUGAAAUCUCUGGGACAGAUCUGCCAAAAGAAGGUGCUGCUUCUUCCUCAAUGAAAAUAAUUCUUUUGAUUCAUCUUAUCAAGAUUUCGUCUUCAUUUGUCUAAUUUUUUCAAAGCUAGAUUUCUAUUGAUUUUAUAACGCAAGUUUCAGGUAUUAAAGGAAGAUAGAAGUUGAUUUUUUUUUUUUUUCUAACAGGAAAAAGAAUACAAGGAAGUCCAGGAUAUAUUCAACGAAAAAAGCAAUGAGAAAGCUCAGCUGCUCGCUACACUAAUGGAGGUAUAUAAUUCUAUAAAAUCAUUUGUAAAUUUUCCUAUAUUUUAUUGGCAACAAAAAUAUUUUCUUAAAUUAUCCAUUUGUGCAUAUGGUCAUGAUCUUAUCAGCUGUUGGGGCAGAGUGAGAAAUGGAGGAUGAAAAAGCUCGAGGAAUUGAAUAAGAAUAUAGAAUCAAUGAACUGAACGAUGAGUACAUUAAACGAAGAAGGAAUAUAUGAAUGAGUAUAAUUGUUUCUUGUCAUUUGUUUUUAAGUUUGUAUUUUUAAAGUGUUUAAUGAUAAACAUUGAGGCUAUUAUAUUUCACUAUGAAAGACUAGCAGAGAGUGCUCUAUUCAAUAUCAUAAUUAGUAUCAACAAUAUCGUAAAUAUCGUUAUCCACAUCGACUAGCUCGGUCUUUGGUCUUUGAAAGAUUUGAAUUUUCAGUCAACUACAAAUUCUAAAAGUUAUUAUUUUUCCUUCCAAUUGUCAUGACGUGACAACAUGAUACUAAACUAACAAAAACUUAGCUCAAGUAGCACUUGUAUGUAUAUGAGGACACAAAGUUCCAGAUUCAUAAAAUUGUCACAACAUAAUUGGAAUUUUGAAGAACAUUUAUAAAGAGUAAAUAACAAAAUAAAGAACCUCAUAGCAACUGGCAUAGUGUUCAUAGGCAUAACUUUUAAAAUCCCCAAAACACUAUUUGAUAUUUGAUAUGAGUUUCUAUGUUUUAUCAUCUACAUUUCUAACAAUGUUUUCAGGAUACAUGCUAAGUUUUGAAAACUAAAAUAAAAGUAGUAUUUUAAAACUUGUUUUUUUAAAAAAAAAAAUUGGAUAAGGAUUCAAGGAUGGAUGAUGGAUGGGUGAGUGCAAGGAUAAAAUUUUAUUUAAAUAAAAAAGCCCAGGAUGGAUGAAUGAGUGUAAGGAUAAAGUUUUUCUCUGCCCCAAGCAAAUUAAUCGGAUGGUCCAUAGGCUAUAACAAAAAAAUAUGCAAAGAUAUUGAAGAAAAAAGAACUAUCAAUUUUUUUCUCCUUCUUUUAAACAAUCCAUUAAGCAUUUAGUGAGAAAUUGAGACCUUAAAUCAUGGGCUGGAUAAAAGGAUAUGAUGACACGGACCACAUUCAGGCUGAAAAAGGCUCUCAAAUCAUAUGAACGAAGGGAUGACUUACAAAAUACGUUAGAGAAACCAUCAGUCAGGUAGACGAAGCUGUUUGUACUCUGCCAAAAGCUUAGGGAUAUCGUCCAUACGUAACUGUGAAUUUAAGAAUAAAAAUAAGAUAUACUAUGACUACAAAUUCAGUGGUAAAAAAGAUGUUUGCACAACAAACUUGGAUAGAAUCAGAAGAAACAAAUACUAGUAGGAAUUGUGUGAGGUGUAAAUGCUUAGAAACCAAUAAUUUUGUACAAUUAAAAGUCAAGUUAGAGUCCGUUUCAGUCACUUGAUUUAUGAACAAUACCUGUUAAUUUAACUUCAUAGCUCAUAUCUUUAUACUAACUGAGAAAAUAAAAGAAUCUACACGUAGAGCUCGAGGCAAGACUAGGCAAAAGUCCAUUGUAUUGGAGAAUUUUAAGAGCUAUUCCCUACACCUAUCAAGAAAACCAAACAGUGGUAUAUUGGAGGUGGGGUGGCAGGGGGAAGGCUGGAAAUAUUUUGACAGAGUGCGUCCCAACCUAAGGUUUGGUAGAAUUUGAAGUCUAACUUCCAAGUUGUUUAAACAUUCUUGUCUUGUAAUUUGGAAGUGAAAGUCAUGUUGACGAAACAGCCUCCGACUUCAUAGCUCUUUUUAUACCAACUGAGAAGGGAAGAGAAUUUAGACAGAGCUCGAGGCCAAGACCACAGGCGAAAUUCCAAUGGAUUGGAGAAGUUUGAGAACCAUUCGCUAUACCUACGAAUAUCUAACAGUGUUGUAUUUGGAUCUGAGGUUGAAGUAUACCAGAAAAGAUAGCACGAUGAUAAGGAAAUAAGAUAAACCACUUCUAACAAUACUUUUCAUACCUGACGGAAGUCAUUAAUAUGGUAGAAUUGAUAUGCAUCCUUUCCAGGAAGACUGGUACUAAUGAAUUCUGACCGAGGCCCAUCGUUUGCACUGUCAUUUUCAACAUAAAUUAAACAAUGACCAAAGGCAAUUAUUAGCAUGAAAAUAUAACUAGGAGGCGCGUUUGUGCUUUUCACACCAGUGAUGAAACAAACGACCAAAUGUUAUGCAUUCAAUUUGACAGCAUGUUACAAUCAGUUGAACUACCAAGUAACCUAAACCAGAUUUGUGACUAUAUCUCGGAAAAACCAUAAUAGCGUUAAAGUUGAUAAUUACUUUAUGGGACAGAGACCCCACAGCUAAUUCUAGACGUCAACAAAAAAAAUGGAUACCAGUAGAAGUCAAAUUAAUCAAUGCCGGCGCACAUAUAAUGAGAUUUUAAACUAAAUAGAAAGAGACACAACUCCUGUAUGAUUUGAUAGGAUCUGAUAAAUGCCAAGUCUUCAUUCUUACAAAUAAUUAUGAGUGAUCAAGCGCUGGUAAUCACGAAGUAAUGGCCCAAGCUCUUUCAGUGGAAUUAACCUAGGAUUAGAAUUCCUCCAAUGGCUCCGUAGUGCCUCGAUGGCCUUCCACAGAAAGACACACACACACACACACACAAAAAAAAAAAAAACUGUCAGAUUUCCUACUUUGAUGAUCAUGCAUCGAAAUUUUUUCAACUCACCUCAAUAUGCGUAGCACGUCCAGAGAUAGAAGGUUUAACUUCACUUAAACUGUAUGCUAAAUUAAGGAACUCUUUAUCAUCCAUCUCGUCUACAACUGGAAGACCCGGAUUUGAGAAUGAGAUGGUAAUCCCCAAACUCUUUCCCAACUCUACUACUGCAUUAUGCCUCUCGUGAGAAUCCUGUUUAGAAUAACAUGAAAUGUAUUACAAAAAUACCAACAGGAAACAAUUCUUGGUGUAGGUAAGGAUAAAACAUAAUAGUAGUGAGUAAUUGUUAAUGUGAGGCCAAAUAGGAAGAAAACAGCAACUGAUAGUGAUCUGAGAUUCUUCGGUACUAUUAAUUUAUUCAUUUGAAAUCCUGCUGCUUUUGUUUACCUUUUCUAUAAGAGAAUGUUCAUUUUCUUUUGUUCUUUUUUUGAGAAAAAUUUCCAAUUGAUAACGGUGGAGGUAUAUCAAAUAGCUAGAGGAUAAGGGAAUCAACCCUCAUUGGUAACAGCUAGUAAUUCACUAUCAAGACUACAAACAAUAAGCAUAACCAAUUACAUAUGCCUUAAACUUUCUGUAAAUUUUUUUAUUUCAAGGUUUGCUAUGCAAAGCCUACACAAAAUACUGCACUUAAUGUCAUUCUUACUGUGAUUUUGCGAUAAUUUUUUUAUUUCAAGGUUUCCUGACAGUGAUUUUGCAAUAAGUUUGGGUUAUAGGAUUCCUCAUGAGUUCAUUCUAACUAGAUCUUCGCCAUGUAGGAAAACUUUAGGGAGGGGCACCCAGAAAGAAGAAAAAAUUAUCCCAGUCCGCAACUUCAAACGCUCUGUGGUUUUUGUGGAUAAAAUAUACUGGAAAUGAUUUUGCAUGAGAAUAUUAACAUAUUAAGAAUAUUUAGACAGGUUUACGAUUAUGAUUAUCAGAGAGAAACAAGAAUUUUGACUAAUGGUUGCUAUCUAUUUCCAAUUGUGUUGUUUUAAUAUUUCUCUCCUAGUAAAGAGUAUGUAUUCUCUCGUUACCUAUGUCAUUUUUCUCCGUAAUAAUAGAAGAGUUAAGUUCUCACUAAACUUAUAUCACAAAUGCACCUAUUCGAACUAAGGCUGCACAUAAGCUAUUCGUCCAUUAAGUGAGAGGCUUUGUCCCAAUACCUCGUGUGCAGAAUUGGAAUCUUUGCUCAAUGAUGUCAAGUCCUUAUUUUGAGGGAGAUCGUUGGAUGAUGUGGAAAACAACCUCUUUACAAUGGGGUCCUCUGUAAGACACAAUAUACAUUAAAGGACUUUUAAACUAAUACGCCAACAAACAGAAAAUUACACGAUAAUCAAUCAUGAGCUAUUUCACUUGUACUUCCCUAGUUCGAAGGGACACUUCAAUCCAUACUUUCUCUCAGUUAGCAGAGGAAAAUACAAAUUAAGAGACCAUCUAAGGAGCAUAAAAGUGAUAAAACACUUCAAACAUUUCAAUAAAGGAACAAUGCAGACAAGAUUCAAUGAACGGCUUUCUGAAAAUAAAUUAAAUACCUUCAGUAACUAACCACCACAAAUCACCAAAGGUCGAUUUCCCAUCAAAACCACCAAAUAACAAAUGACGUGAUCCAAUACAGUUCAUUGAAUGGUAUGCUCGUGCUGAAGGAGCUUCAUUUCCAGUAGGCAACCGUUUCCACUGAGCAGUUACUGCAUUUCAAAGAAAAAUGGCUAUUCACAACUGCACGGCAAACAAUUCAAUAGAUGAAGCAAAGAUGGACAUUAAGCAUAUCAGGAAAGUUUGACAAGUUUUGGGUUUAAUGGAGGCAACCUGUUCUUCUUGAUACUUCUUUCAUUACUUUUACAAAUUUGGAGUCCUAAACUAAAAGAUAACCGAGUAUCUAAUUCACCUCUUUCCCCACCUCACCAUCUUUAUGAGGGAGCAUAAAAACCAUCGAAGAGCUUAUCUUUUAGCAGCAUAAGGAGGUAUUGAUGCACUCACCCCUGUCCAACACAAUGCAAUCAUUGUGGUAAACGUCAUAGCGACUAAGCCAACCACCAGUCCCAUGUCCUCCAAAUAACAGUAGCUGCAAAGACAAGAAGGGGGUUAUAUCCAAUUCAAAUAGCAAUGAAAGAGCGAAAUACUUUAAGGGAAAUUAUGAUAGCCUUGUAAAAUGAUGUAAUGCGUUACAGGAAGAGUGGAAGAUAACUGAGUAACAAUUAAUAGCGAAAAUAAAAUCUCAACGUCAUCAACGUCAUCUCAUCGAGUUAAAGAUUUUUGGCAUUUUCGAUCUCCAGUUAUGAAGCCAUAGUAACAUUGAGGAUUCCCAUUAACAUUUAGCCAGUCAAACAUUCAAGAGUACGAGGGAAGAUUCAUGGAUCGACACACUAUAUCUUGGUCUGGAAGCUUGUUUAAAACUAAUAGUAAAAGAAGUAUAUUCUCUUUUUCUUUUUCUAUAUUCAAAACAACAUAUCUCUAUCUUGCUCUUUCGCGUCUAUUUCAUUUUGAGUAAAUUGUCUUUCUUGAAACCAUUUUGUUCACUACAAAAACUCCAACGCACCAGACUUUUUUCUUAAUCCCAUUUGGGAUAAAAGAUGAUAUACUAGCCACCAAUAGAAGUUUACAACCUGACCGCUCAUUAACCAUUUUCAUUUCUGAUGAAGCUUGAAAUAUCAGCUUUUCAAAGUGAAGUACAAAGAAGAAAAAGGACAAAAAUUCUGUAAAAUGUAAUUACAUAAUGUCCACUUGAUGUAAUGGUAUGGCCACAACGGGGAGAAGGACCUUGACCUGGAAGCUUCAACUGAGUCCAUCCAGGGCUUUCAUUCUCUAUCACAAAACCAAGAAACAUUGAAUGAGCUGGUUAAAAAAGGCAAACAUACAGGGCCUCAGAAAAGAAAUUCCAUAUGAAACCAUAGAGCCUGAACUUCUUGACCUCACACAAAAUAGUUUACAAACAAGCAAACCAAGCAGACAACAAUGCUGCUCUAAUAGUGUUUCAUCCUUCCAUGUAUCUAAAAUGUCCUACAAUGGUGUUUAGUCUAUAGACACGUUAAAGCUGAGAAACAAAAAGUUAACACAUACGUAUCUAUAUUUGGGACAAGAAAACAAAAAAAAAAAGGUAUUCAACAAACUACAAAAAAGUAGGAUGCGGUAUCCUUAAAAUGAAUCCAAGGAUCCACAACUUGAAAUUGCUCCUUGUAACCAUGAAAAGGAAGUCAUAGCUUCAUAAUGAACGCAGGAAAAAACAAAUCAUAGCUCAUAUAUCUUUACGGUAAAUCACUCGUCGUUACCCUUCAAACAUGUUUCAAUACCCUUGAAACAAUAGUAUAAUAUUAUCAGCAAGAUCUGAAAAAUAACUUUAUUUCUCAGAUUUAAAUGGCCUUAAAAGAACAAUGAUGGAACUUGAGACAAUAAAAGCAGAAAACUUCUCUUCGAUGAGGUUAUAUACUUAUAAUAUAUAUAUACAUAUACAUUUAUUAUAAAAUAAAUAAAUAAAUAAAAUAAAAUAAAAAGCAACCAUCUACUGACCUUCUUCAAUUAGUCCUUUUAGAGCCCAUAAGUCGCCCAGUAUUGGCCCACCACCUCCUAUCAAUUCAAAAGGGUCAAUUAGCUUAAUAGAAAAAUGCAAACUUACAGAACCACGUUCAAAAUGAUGAAACAAGAUUAGUCAACUAUAGAUAAGGUAUCAUACUAAAAUAAGAAAAGGGUUUUCAAUCUAGCACAGCUAUAGCAUAAAAUAGUGAUUUUCCCAGUUUACAUACUUUCAACCCUUGGUUAAGAUGAUUAAAAACAGCAAGCAUUGUUUUAAAUUUGAGCAGCAUAACAAAAAGAAAAAAAAAAAGAAUUGAUCAUAAUAGAUCCAACAAUUGCAGCUAGACAUUCAAAGAGAAGCCUAGACAACGCAAAUAAUGCCAAAGCCCUAUCAAAAAUGCUUCGACUCAUUUAUGACCAUUACCAUACUAAAAGAAUAAAUCAAUUGAAAAGGUCCAGAUUUUAUUUUUUCUAAAAACCCUUCACUUUACAGGUUUCAUAUCUAUUAUAUUUUGCAAAACUUAAACGUUACUAGCAUGGAAGAAACCAAGCUAGCUAAAAAACCAAAUAUGAGGGGGGAAAACAAAUCAAGUGCUUCAAAAUUACUUGCAACACUCAAUGUCAUAACAAAUCUUUCUCCAUUUUUUCUUUUCUAUGUUCAAAAUUCAUUUUUCUGCCAAUCGUUUCUAAGAUCAAGGAGAAAGAAAAUAUAUUCAUCACUGGACCAUGGUACUCAUGCUAAUGGUAAUUAAUAGAGGAAAAUGUUCUAUCUCAAUAAAAAUUGUUGUUUCUAUAAAUAAAUAAAUAAAAGAGAGGGAGAGAGAGAGAAUGUCGUUUUGAAAACUCAUUUGUAGAGAAAGUAUUACAUGUGAACAUACCUCUUCCACCAUAGACAAGCAACCUUUUCUCAAGCAUAGUUGCAGUAUGGCCACAUCUUGGAGGAGGCAGUGAUCCAGAAACUGAAAGUUCAGUCCAUUCAAGUGACACUGCGUAUCCCCCCCCCCCCCCCCCCAAAAAAAAAAAAAAAAGCAGAAGAAGAAAAAGACAAACUUAGAGAAUAAUUAUACAAUAACUUAAAAUAAGACGUCUAAUAGCAAAAAGGAGAAAAAAUUAUGAAACAACAAAUAAAAGAAAAGAAAAGAAAAGAAACUAAGAAGCAGACACCACAGAACUUACUUGUGUCUAGGACAUAUACAUCUGACAACCACUUCUUACCAUCCCACCCCCAUACCUGCACACAAUUUAUGUAGAUUUGAAUUAGGAUAUAAAAGAAAUUAGUAACCCCCAAGAAGAAUGGAAAUACUAAUACUCACAUGACAAUUUUCCGGUUUCCAAAAGAUGAGGCUGCGGCAAAGUCCCUUGGUGAAGGCAAAUCACCAAAACUAGUUAGCUCAGACCAUUGCCAGAUAUCUUGAAGACACGAGAGAGCCAAAUGAUAGAAAACAUCGUUAUGCUUCAAACAUAAGCAAUUUCUAUCCAUUACAAUCAAAAUAUUUAAUAGGAUAGAGAACCUUACCAGUGUCUAGAACCCAGAAAUCACCCAUCCUACAUGUACAAUAUCAGUAUCAGUAUAAGUCAUCUGAAAAUUAGAACAUGAAUCAAGAGUAGUUUUGAAUAUAGGACUAACACAUAUAAUAAAGUAUUCCAUGUUUAGCUCCAAUUUUUUUAUUAAUAAGAAAUGCAAACUCUUUUCAUCCUAGAGGAACAAACUGGAUCAUGCAAGAGGUUUUUGAACCAUGCAAGUGGAUCGAUACAAAUGCAUCCAAAAUCACUAAUUUACUUUUUAGUAAAAUUAUUAAUUUUUUAAAAUAAAGUAAUUAAGUACAAAUAAAAGUUAAAAUAAAUUAUUUGAUUAAAAAAAAUCGUAGACUGACUAUUACUUCCUACACCAUAAGUUAUAAAUUCUUUAAGAGUCAACUCUCUAUUCUCGUAUAUUUCCAUCCUGACUUUAUUCCAACUUCAAAUAAAUGCUACAACUUGCUUUCAUUUUCAGGGUUCAACCUUCUCUCAACAUGCAUCCUUAGAGUUAGAAGUAUUGAUUCAGUGCUGUGAUCAGCCCAAGGCCAGGUAUCGCUACAUUUCAGUCAUCUUGAGGACAAAGUAAAAUUCUGAGAAACAAGAAUGGAUAAGGAAAAAACAUCACCAAUAACAAGUUAUACACAUCUAUAAAGGAUAAAUAAUAUUAAGCGAAUACCAAGAAUGGUAGUUGUUAAAAGGAGGUAGCUAGUUAGCUGGAAAUGGGGGUUCUUAUUGACUGUUACAGCACACAAUAGUAGUUUCAACUCAGAAAAAUACCCUAUAUCUUCAAUAGAUGAAGAGAGAAGUACAAUACCAGAUAUAGAAAAACCUGAAGGACGGGAAAGCUCAUGCCUCACAAAAUUCCUGGGAAACCAUUGUAACAGAAAUAAGGCAGCCCAAUUAUAGCCUGGUUAAGGAAAGUUGGCGGGAAAAUAUUGGAAGGAUUUUUCAGGGUGGAAUAUCAUUGAUUUUUGGAGCUCGUACGUUUUUUGGUCUAUUGUUGGAAGCUCUUUAUUUUAAAAUUUUGUAACCACUACUUUUCCAAUUGAUACAAAUUACAACCUAUAGAGUACUUUUGUAGUCUCCACCCAUUUUUGGCUGGAGAAGAUUUCUUGUUUCCCCAUAAUCUUGUGGCUGUUUGCCUUUUAAUAAGAAGAUUAUGUUUCUUAGAAAAAGUAAUUCAAACAUUAGUCAGGAAAUUAAGGAUUUACAAAUUAGAGUCAAAUAUAGAUGAUUGCCCCCAUUUUAUUACUAAACAGUACACCAAAAUUAAGGCGCACAAAUAUUUCCUAUACUUUUUUCUACUAGAGGCAAAUACCUUUUGCUACCCAAACGUCCACCAAAGACAAACAUGUGGCAAUCAAUUGCGACAGCAAUAUGAAAAGCUCGUGGGCUGGGACCAACUUGUUCAUCUGAGCCAUUGCCAGUGCAUUCUGGCUGAAACCAUAAUUUAUUUUCUGCAGUAAAUAUCAGAGAAAGGAUUUAAUGAAUUGAAUAAAAGUAAAACCAUUACAGAUUUUCCUCUUUCUAAAAUCUGAUCAGCAUGAAUACGAUAGGACCAUGAUUGCUGCAGAGAUAAGAAUCCACCACAAUCAAUUGUCAUUCAAAUGAGCUAUGUCAUGCAGUAAACAAAAAACCUAAAGACCUCAAUCUAGCAACCUAAAUUUACUUCCACAGCAAAUUUCAUUGAGCAUUUUUCUAAUUUAUUCACUCUAACAAAUUCCCUACCAACAUCUCGGUCUUUUUUAGAGAUGAUAUCCUUUAACAAAACAUGAUCGAACCUAAUGCCUGCCUAUCCAUUUCACAAAUGAAAAUAUCUGCAUAUCCAUUUCAAUGUGAAUUACAGCUUGUUUAUUAACGUCAAGAUUUUCCCAAGCAACUCUAAUGUAAAAUGAAGACAUUCGCUACCUAUCUACUGGGAACGACCUUCAUUAGCUGUCCAUUCGCUUCCUUGAAGAAAAUUUUUUCUUGAACCAAUUUCAGACAAACAUUGCAACAAAUGUAUCCUGAAUGAAUGAAUCGCUUAGUAGCUUACAAAUUUUUCUCAGGUUUGAAAUUCACCCUAGAAGCUACACUAACGAAUACAUUCUCUUCUUGCAUUAUCCUUUACAUCAAAUCUUCGUCCUAACCGAUCUCUACAGCUAUCGCAAAAAUUCUAGUGAAUAAAUCUCCAUAAUCGAAAUGUUGUGAGGCAUAAACAAUACAGAAACUCGUCUCGUAAUAAUUUAACUCCGGAGUCAAUAAUAUCGAUUUACAAUAUCAACAAAAAUUAAAAUCAUAAAAACCGGAUUAAGAAACGUGUUUACUACUCAAAAUACAACUUCAAUCCUUAUUAAAAAUAAACACAAACAGAAGAUCGACCAGACUACGGAAAUGAUGAUAAUGCAAAAUAUCGGACCAAAAUUAAGUACACGUCGAUGAAGAAAGUAGCAGAACAGUAUAAUUCCGUAAAUGAUAAAGUAACUAGCAUAAGUACCGAUGUCGUAAACAGCGAUAUCGCUUAGAAAUUUCUUGUCGACAAGGCCACCAAACACGACGAUCUUCGAAUUUCCGAUGUUAACAGCGGAGUGGCCACUGAAACUCCAGAGGAGUAAUCCAUGAAAAUGAUUGUAAAAAAAAUCGAAGAGAAUUCGUAGAGAGAGAAAGAGAUGAAUGCCUGCGAGGUUUAGGAAGAGUUCCAGAGAAAUCAGAGGGGGAAGCUUUCACCCAGUAAUGCAUAGUUUCUUCUUCCGCUUUCCUCAGUUCACCUGAGACGGCAAACGGGAGGACUUGGUCAACAUAUAAUUACAGAGGCCGCCCGGCAAAAUUCCUUUUAUACCAACGCUGGAGAGUUUUUUCACAUACUUUUGCGCAAAUAACCCAUUUAAAAGUUUUAUAAUUUAUUUUUUGUUAAAUUAAAAAAUAUAUAUGAAUAUAAAAAAAUAUUUAUAAACUUUUUAAAGUUUAAAAAAUAUUCGUACACUUUUCAAAAGUUUAAAAAUACAAAUUAUGGUUAAUUUUGGAUGAAAUUGAAAUUUUGCUUUUAUUUAUGAAAAUUGAGUUAGAAUUAUAAAAAUAUUUUAAAAAAUUGUUGUCCAAAUCUAAACGACCCCUAAAAGGAUUGAUUGUUACCAAUUUAACAAUUAAAUUUAAAAUAAUUAAAUAUAUAAAAACAUUUUAAAAAAUUUAUAAAUAUAGCACAAUUUAUCAAUAUCAAUGAUAAAAGUCUAACUGAUAAACCAUACGAGUUGAUGAGCUAUAGUUUUGUUAUAUUUACAAUUUUUUUAAAUGUUAUUAUAUCCUUAAUUAUUAUUUUUAAAAUUAUCAUUAAUUAUAAUUACUUUAAAAAAAUAUAUAAAGUGGUGAUUUAAAUUUUUAAAAUCAAACUUAUAAACAUCUCUAAAUUUCCCUUUUUUUUCCACCGUGUAACCAUUUAACUCACAAAUAAUUUUGAAUAUAAGCACCAUGUAGAGUCUUAAAAUAUAUUUAUUCAAUUUCUUUGAAGAAGAGAGGAAUAGGAAAAAGAUAAAUUUAUGGAGCUUGAGUGUUGUUUCUUUUUUAUUAGUAUUUUUAAUUGUAGGGAUCAUGUCAUAUGUGCUCUCGUAGCUCAGUUGGUUAGAGCACCCGUUUAGUAAGCGGGAGGUCUUGAGUUCGACUCUCAACGAGAGCAUAUUGUGUAUGUUUUACUUUUUCUUACCUCCAUUUUACCUUCUAGUAAUAUAUAUUUAGACGUCACAUUUAACAUCUCUAUCUUAUAUUGACUAUUGGAAAAUCUUUGCUUAAAAUCGAUAUAUGUAUCAAUGGUAUCUGAAUAUUAUUUUGAAACAGUUGCAAUGCAAUUAAGACUAUAGAACGUGAAUGUUGGCCAAAAUUUUCGAUAUUUUGAUGUCACAUUUAACAUCUCUAACUUAUAUUAACCGUUGAAAAUCUUUGCUUAAAAUUGAUACAUGUAUCAAUGGUAUUUGAAUAUUAUUUCGAAAUAGCUGUAAAUGAAAAUUAAAUUUAAACAGUUGCAAUACAAUUAAGACUAUAAAACGUGAAUGUUGGCCAAAAAUUGUGAAUCUGAUAGACUUCACACCAAAAUAAAUUGAGAUUAUCGAUGUCCAUUAACUUUAAUAUUGAGAUCAAUGUCAACUAAGCUUCAUGGCUAAAUAUGUUUUUAUUUUUUUAUAGUAUAGCGUAAGAGAUCAAACAUUUGCUUUUAAUAACAUAUACUUUGAUGUCACGCUUAACACAUCUAUCUCGAAUCGAUUGUUAGGGAUCUCUAUCUCAAAUUGGUACGUGUAUCAAUGAUAUUCGAGCAUUAUUUCAAAAUGGUCAUAAAUUAAAAUUAAGUUUAAACUGUUGCAAUGCAGUUAAGCCUGUAGAAUGUUAGUGUUUGCAAAUUUGCUCAAUCUCGUGGGCUUCAUAUCAAAAUAAGUCGAGAUUAUUGAUGUUCAUUUAUUGCAAUAUUGCGACCAAUAUCAACUAAGCUUUGUGGCGUUGCUCCUUGAGAACCAAACUUAUCUUUUUAAAUAAAAUAAUAUUUAUAGGCUUUUGUGUUAUUAUAUGUCGUAGCUUAUAUGUGUGUUGAGUGUUUAAAGUGAUGAAUGAUAUGCUUCGUGUGAAUUAUGAUUUUUUAUUUGAAGCAAGUUAAUUUUAUUGUUAUAUUCUUUUAUUUACAAUAUGGUGUAAGGGAUCGAACCUUUGCUUUUAAUAAUAUAUAUUUUGAUGUCAUAUUUAACACCUCUUGAUAAUGGUUCAUUACCGGAUACGAACGAUAUGACAAACAUUAUGACAAAGAGAAUUGAAGUGUUUACCAAUGUUACAUUCUAUUUAAUUACAUAAUUACCAAAAUACCCUUAUUUAAUAUGUCAAAAAAUGAGAAAAUUAGAAAAUACCAAACAUCAAACAACAUAAAUGAUAAUUUGAUGUUUGAAACCAUUCAUAUAAACGGAAAGAUUGAUUUUAAGUGUUUAAUUUAACACGUUUUAAAAUAAAUUAAGGUGUUUUACAUUCGUUUAAAAUAACUUUUAGAAAAACGAGAUAAUUGAAUACAUAAGUUUAGAAAAAACACCUUCAACAAAUUUUUAAGAUAAAUGUUUAUUUUGUGUUUAAGAGUACUCCCUCCCAAAUAUCUAUCAUCUAUUUUUAUUAUUUUAUAUUUAUUUAUACUAUCUAUUUUUCAUUUUAUCAUUUUUUAAAAAUACUUUGAGUAUUUUUUCAAUACAUGUUCAUAUAUAUUUAAAUAUAGAGAUUUGUAAAUGUCUUACUCUUAACAAAAUAUACUUUGCAUUAACAUCUAUGAAAUAAAUCACAAUGAUAGAAACCCUUAAUUUACAAAAUGUUUGUUUUGCAUAUAAACAUUUAUAGAGAGAUCAAAUCAAACAUGUAAGUGUUUAGAUUUUAAAUUCAUUUUACAAAAAAGGUUCGUUUGAAAAUGUAUUCUUAAGAAAAAACAUUUUUUCACACGCAACGCAAACAAACCCUUAAUUGACGUAAAAAAAAAUAUUUUUCUAAACUCAUCUCUAUUUAAACACUUUUAAUACACGUCAAAACUAUUUUAAUUUGUUUUGUUGUUAAAUACAAUUUAACUUUUAAAUUAAACAUUUUAAAAUGUAUUUCAAACUCAUCCUUAACAAUUUAAUUUAAAAGCUAUUUUAUUUCAUAACAUACCAUCUAUCGAUAGCAUUUGUGAUAUAAGUUUAUGUGGGAGGUCUUGAGUUCGACUCUCAUCGAUCGAUAGCAUUUGAUAUGUUUUUCACUUUUUCUUACUCUAUCGCACUUCAUUGUAAAUUUGCUCUCGAUGGGAUACAACUCGUUGUUUCCUCCUUCAUUUGAUGAUUUGUGAAUCGUAUUUUCUUUGAAGCACUUUAAUUUUUAUUAUUGUUUUUAUUUAUUUACAAUAUGGUGUAAGAGAUCCAACAUUUAAUUUUAAUAAUAUAUAUUUUGAUGUCACAUUUUUAACUCGUUCUGAUAAGGAUGGGAAGCUUGUGAAAUACUCAUGAGGUAUGUUUUCUUUGGUUUGAUAAAUAUCUUUAUUUUUUAUCCUUCAUAUAGAAUCUAAACAAAAUACUCUCUUGUAUGAAUCUUAAAUGACACAAUACAUCGACACAAACGCAAAAACUUUAUUAUUUCCUUCUCAUAUAUCAAUUUUAAGAAUCAAAUUUUUUCAUGACAUUAAUUACACUGCAAACCUAUUUAUUCUUAUUUUUCUUUUAGUUGUGACUUUUUCAUCCACCGUAGAAGCAAAUCAAGAUGAUAUGGAAGUGAGCCUAGAUAGCAACAUGACUUAAGUUGGAUGACACGACAUUCGAUUGUUGGAGAUCUUUAUCUCAAAUCGGUACAUGUAUCAAUUAUAUUCGGGCAUUUAUAAUUUCGAAAUGGAUAUAAAUGAAAAUUAAGUUUAAUCUCUUACAAUGCAAUUAAGCCCAUAGAAUACGAGUGUUGGCCAAAAUUACUCAAUCUCAUGGGCUUCACACCAAAAGAAAUCGGGAUUAUUGAUGUUCGUUUAUUAGAAUAUUGGGACCAAUAUCAACUAAAUUUCUUGGUUGUUCGUUUUUGUGUUGUUAUAUGUUGUAACUUAUAUAUGUGUUGAGUGUUUUAAGUGUUGAGAAGAGGAAUGAUAUUUCAUUGUAUUUUAUUUGUGAAUCAUUCUUUUAAGCAUUUUAAUUUGUAUUAUUGUAUAUAUUUUUUAUUUACAAUAUGGUAUAAGAGCUCAAACCUUUGCCUUUAAUAUUAUAUAUUUUGAUGCCACAUUUAACACCUCUAGAUAAUAGUUGGUUAGACAAUAUGACAAAGAGAAUUAAAGUUUAUACCAAUAUUACAUUAUAGUUCAUUACACAAUUACCAAAAUACCCUUAUUGAAUAUGUCAAAAAAUGAUAAAAUUAGAAAGAAAGAAAAAUACUAAACAUCAAAUAAAAUAAAUAAGAAUCAGAUGUUUGAGACCAUUCGUAUAUAUUAUCAAAUUAUAAACAACUAACGAACAUGAUAGUAAUUUUUUUGUAAAUUUGCUUUUCAAACAAAAAAAAAAAGAUCAAUUUUAAUAUCCAUUUUAAUGGAUGUAAAAAAAUGUUUUAUUUUAAUUCAUCUCUAUUUAAACACUUUUAAUAUUAAAACUACUUUACUUUAUCUUUUAAAUUUAACAUUUGAAAAUGUAUUUCAAACAUACGCUUAACAAUUACAAAAUUCAUUUAAAAUACUCAAACCUCAGCCACAGUUGCCUAGUGCACUUCUCUAAUCAACUUUGAGAUCAAUCAAGCACUCAACAGUGUGACAAUGGGACAAUAGUCAAUGAAAGUUACAUAUUUACAAAUUACAUUGUUUUUAAUUUCACUGUGGUGCAAAACAUGAAUUUACACAGGCUAAAACCAUGAACAAAUAAAAUAUUGUGAGACACUGUUUGACUUUCCUAAAAGGAACUGUUGUUUGUGUUCAUUAAGAGAACAGUUCUCUGGAAGCAAUUAUUAUAGUUAUUUUUGCAAAAGAACGACUCUAAUUGAAGGAAUUUUAUACAUAAAUAUGAAUGAUAUUUAAUUACAGUACAGCUACUUGAUACCCAUUUUAAGAAACUAUUCAUGUGACCAUGCUUUAUGAAAAUUACAUAGCAUAUACAUAUUUAUCUGUUUUCCCUUUUACUUAUUUAUUUUGUAAGUAAUCUGUGUGUGUUUGUGUGUUUUGAAGAUGUGUUUUUGCUUUGGUUAGGUCAAAAUUCAAUGCUUGCAGUAAAUCACCUACAAACAGUGGUUAGAAUAAUUUCGUAGGAUUCUUUCAUAAAUUACUAUUGCAUAUUUCUAUUCUGUUUGAUUACAUAUAUCGAAGUGGGAAUUCAAACAUCAAAAUUUAGAAGAAAAUUUAUUGUUUAUACUUGCAUUUCUUCUUUUAUUUAAUUUAUCAAAUAUAUACGAGGGAUCAUUGUGAUUAUAUAAUAUUAAAUAGGAUAUUUUUUUCCAAACUAAAUUGAACUUUACAAUAAUUAACAUCUUAAUUAAGUUGUUGUAUUGUCAUUUUUACCAUAAAAAAUGCUUAUUUCAUUUAAUCAAUAGCCUUAAUUUGUUAACAAGGACCCUUGAUUUUUUAGAGAUUGAAUAUUUAUAUUUUAUAGACAUUUAUAUUUGAGUUGAAAUAUUAAAAUUAACAAUUUUUUUAGUACGACCACAAAUGUGAGAGUGACCACGUAAUCUAACACAAUACCUUCGUCUUUUAAAGAUGAUUAUUUUGACCCAUCAUAAUCAUUUUAACCAUUUGAAGGUAAAUUUUAAAACAUUAGUUUGAGAACACAAAUGAUAAUGAUAAACAACCUAGGUGAAAUAUUUAUUUUCUUCAUAAAUAUUGUGAAAACUGAAUAAUCACGUUUAUUUAUAUAUCUCUAUGUGAAGUAGUACGUGGAGUAUUUAUUUAUUUUUAUUAGGAAUACAGAACGUAACCAUGAACGUUUUUUGUUAAUGAAAAAUCAAUUUAUAAUUAUAGGAAUUGAAAGGUUACAAGUUGUUUUUUUACUCACUAAAUUAUAUAUAGUUCUAAUGAAUAAAAUUUUGAACAUAGGACCGGUAAGAAUUAACAGGCACUAAAAGAAUUUAGACGUUGAUGAAUCUAUUAACUAUAUUACACAUAACCUAUACUUCGAAUUUAAUCAAAGUUAUUGCAAAGUAUUUUUUUACAAAAUAAUAUAUAGGUUUUUUCCCUAGCUAGAGAGAGAGAGGUAAUAUGAGAGGCCACGGUUUUUGAGCUUAAACCCUAGGUUCGACAACGGCCGUAAGAGGAUUCUUCAUGACGACCGUGAAUUCCAUCUUCCAUGAAAAGUCGACGGAGCUGGACGGUGGAUAGGCGGCCCAUUCAAAUUCCUGCAGCAUUCUGGCGAGCAUUAAAUGAAUGUGGACGGUGGCCAUUCCCAAGCCCGGGCAGAUCCGCCGCCCUACGCCAAACGGCAUCAUUCUGACGCCACUGACGCCGGUAAUAUCGGCUUCUUCCAUGCCGGAGUAGAAUCUUUCCGGUUCGAAUUUAUCUGGAUUCUUCCAUAGCUUCGGAUCUCUUCCGAUGGCGGGUAAGAAGAAUUCUACGUUCGUGUCAUUUGGGAUGUCGUAUCCUGCUUUUUCAAAAUUAUAUAUAUUAUUAACAUUAACUAAAUAUGAUUAAAAAAAUUGCAGUAGUAGGAAUAAAAGAACUAAGAAAAAUAGUCUAUUUGAUAGAAAUUUUUAAUUAGGUUUAGGUUUUCAAAAUCACAUAAAUGUGUUUAGAAAAAUAAAUAAUAAAAAGAAAAGCUAUAACCCAAAAAUAAAUAUUUUUUUUGUUAUAAUUGUAUAUCAAUUUUAAAUCAAAUAAAGAGGAUAAUAUUUAUAAAUACUUAUAAACUCAAUUCAUUUAUUUAAAAAGGUAUAUAUUAAAAAAAUUAUUCUUUUAUUAUUUUGCUAUCUACAAGGAUGCAAGAGGUACAACUUAAAAUGGAGGUAUGCAUUACCAUUCGUUACUGUGUAUCUAUCUUUUUACAACUUAUUUUACACAGGAGGAAGAGUUCCUCCUUUUUUCUCUUUUACAUACAUAUAUGUAUUAUAGUUUUUAUCAUGCAUAUAUAUUAUGCAUAUUUUCUUUUUUUGAGUGGACUGAAAUAAUAAAUUUGAGAGACAAAAUAUGCGUCUAAAUAUUUACUUUUGCCCUCUAUUUCUAGUUAUAUGUGGUACCUACUUUCUUCAUAAUUACUGGUUUUUAUGGAAGUUAUUUGGUAACGUUAUUGAACCUACAUUUAUUUACGUACUUAUUUAUUUUCGAUUGCACAAGGAAUUUAGGUGCAGGUUUAAAAACAACAUUAUUGCUUGUCUGAUUCUUGGGUUGUUCAUGAAAUUUUUUGUUAAAAUUAAACGUCAAUUCCAAAACUCCAAACCCCAUUUUUUUUCUUUUAAAUCAUGAUGAUUUUCUUAGCAUGAUUCACAAAAAUAUUUGACUUGAUAGCCAAUAUGGGAUUAGGACAAAUUGUUUCAUAAAAUAGAAAAUUUAAAAAUAAUUUUAGCGGGUAAGGGAUAGUUUAGGAUAACCUGCCAAUUUCGUCGUCUCCGUGACGGAGUGCGUUAGAGCAAAGAACGUCGGAGGAUGUUUACGCAACACUUCUUUCACAACUGCUUGUAAAUAUACCAUUUUUUCAACGUCUUCCUCCUCUACUUUUCUCUCACCAACCGUCUCUUUAAUUUCUUCCACAAUCUUCCUCUGAAUUUCCUCAUUCGCUAUCAAUUCCGCCAUCCCCCAUUCUAUCACUGUCGCCGUCGUGUCCGUCCCGCCGUUCAAAAACUCCGAACAAAGUGUCACCAAUUCCUCGUCCGUCGCCGACGACGACUUCCCUUCGCCGCCACGCCCGUCGAUUUUAAAAUCGAAAAGCGUGUCCAGGUACGAAAACGACGUCGCGUCACCGUCGGAAGCUGGAUUCUCCAGUGCCCGCCGCCGUCGAUUAAUUAACUCAACAACGAAUUCGACUUGUUUUCUCCGAACGAGAUUCGCUCGAUUUCUUUCUCUAGAGAAAAAAGGAGAUAAAAUCGGGAAAUAAUCAUCAAUUCUUGGAUCGAGUGCGAUCAAUACGGAUUUCAAAAUCUCGUCCAUUUUCACAACCGUUUCGUCUUCCAUCUCGAUUCCGAAACACAUUGUUAACAUAAUCCAAAACACCGCAAAACGCACGUUUUUAAGCACUGAAACGACGCCGUUAUUAUCCUCUGCUUCACGUCUUAACCGCUUCACAAAUUUUUCCAUUGCUUUUUCUCUCACGUCUCGGAACUCCUUAACCUUGCUGGAGCUGAGCAUAUUUUCCACCAUGUUGCGGCGGAGGGACCGCCAUAUAGGGCCGUAAACCGCCGCAUUCACGGAAAAUUUGUUACUGCUGAAUAUAAUCCGGGUAGGAUUUUCUCUGGGACGGUCAGCAAAAAUCGCCCCUUUUUUAAUUAGUGCUUCGUGAACAAAAUUCGAAUCGCUCACUACAACCAUUUUUGUAGGACCCAUUUUGAGGGUAAAAAUUGAGCCGUAAAUUCGGCGUUGAUCUUCAAUGUAUUCGAAGAAGGGUUUCUUGGAGAGGGCGACUUGAAAGAGGUUGCCGACGAGGGGCCAACCGGGCGGUCCAGGAGGGAGAUUAGGGCGGUUUCUUAUGGGUUUUCUUGUGAGGAAGAAGAUUAAACCGGAGAGGAAAAACGCAAUGAGGGAGAAAGAAGCCAUUGGAGAUGUGGGAUGUGAGAAAGGGAGUUGAAUUAUAGUUCAAAGAUUAAUGAAAUAAGGGGGGAAAAGUUGGGUUUAAAAAGAGAGAAGCAUGAAAUUUCAGGUAAGGUUCAAUAAAAGCUUGUGUCAGGAAAGUAAACACACUUGCAUUUUAGUGUAUAUAAAUUAUAAUACAAAACUCUCCUAUUAUUCAAUUUUUGAGUUCAUUUCCGUUAAUAAGUAGGAAGUAAAUAUAUGGGAGUUAAUUUACUAAAUUUGUGAUGCAGAAUUAUAAGAUAAUAGGGGGCGUUUUGAAAACUAUGGGACAAAAUUGUUAAAUUUACGGAAGUUUGGAUAGGGAUCAUACUCAAUUCAAGAUUAGUGAGUGUAUCCAAACUUUUGUAAAUUUGACAAAUUUGUAUCUCAAUUUUUAAAAUUAACAACUUAAUUUUGUGUAAAUUUAGGUUUAAAUACUCUUUUAAACAAUUAUUUUAAAUAUUGUUUUUUCGUUUUUUUAAAUACUCUUGUGAUAUUUGAACUUGUCACAAGGUUUGUCAUUGUUUUUAUACUUUAGAAAUAGAAACAUUUGGUUGCUUUUCUAAGAUUAAAAGACCAAAUUUUACCAAAGUGAAAAGUUUGUUGCAUCUAAUUGAUCGUUUUCGUUAUGAAAAAUCAAUUUAAAUAUUUGUAAAAUCAUAGUUUAUUAAGUUAUUUCAUUUAAAAUAACCUUUCAUUCUUUUUCCUUUAUAUUCUCUCAGAAUAUUUAGCCAUAUUGAAAAUAAACAACUCCUAAUUAAGUCAUAAUUUUAUUUUCUUAGACAUGAAAACUAAACAACAAAUUGAUUUAGAAUAUUUGAUAAAAAUAAACGCUUGCUUGAAAAGCAUUCCCACAUACAUCUAAAUGAAUAAACAAACAAAUGUUGUGAAUUAAAAGAGUAAAAACUCCAAUUGCUUUCAUAACGGGAACUUAUCAGAACCUUCCAAAUAAGCAUAGCUGAUCAACAAGUAUUGAUAUGCGAUUAACAAAAAAACAGAGAAGCCAAAUUCCCCAUGAACUAUGGAGAAAGAUAUGGAAAUUGUAGUGGGUAGAGAAGACCUUCAACAACAAUACACUUUGCCCAUCUUUUCAUUAAUUUCACACGUUCAUUUCUUCCCCAUCUCUUCAAUUAUGGCGGUGUUGCCAGCUCUCCAUCUAGUUCUUCCCCCAUCACCUUCAUAAAUCCUUUUCUUCUUAAACUCUAAGCUUCGUUUUUUGGUUCGAAUUUGAGGACACAAGAACCCAUCCUUCAUUAACUUCAACAUCUUUAAAUGAUGUUACAGUACUCCAUCCUUUUGCAGGAGAAUCAAGUCAAAGUCGUCGUUGGGGAGGGAUUUACAUGUGAAGACAACAGUUCCAUUGCUAGAAUCUAAAAGUCAAGCUUAAACAAUAUAAAAACAUAUUGGGAAAAAGAGUCCAAAAAUAAGAUUAUGGAGUUUAUAAUUGAAGUAAGGGAAGACAACAAUAUGUGAAUUGAAAAAGUGAAAAAGACAAACCAAAAUAAAAGCAAAACCUCUCUAUAAAAAGAACACACAAAUUAAAAUUUUGGAUUCAACUAUAUACAAUAUUGAUAUAUUGAAUGCGUCUACGAUCUAUCUUUACCGAUAUGACCAUAGCUGGCAUCACCUACGAUGAAAAAUUCCAAAUCCUCUUUUUCUUUUAAUGUAUAUAAAAAAAACAAUAGCUUUCCUCCACCACCCCCAUUAUUGUCCUUGGACAAGCAUUUUGAAUAAAGAAGCAAAUAUCAUUCAUCUUCCUCCAUACCCAUUACGCUUGCCGAAGUCGAGUAACCAGAAACGGAGACAGAGUUGAAAACAAAACAUCGAGAGAAGGGAGACAGAGACGCAUUAGAGAAAGGAAAAGGAACAAAAACAGAAGAGAAAUAGAGGGAGAGUUGAAUAGUGCCCCAAAAAGGAGAAAGGGGAGUAAAACAAUGGAGAAGGGGGAAGAUAAGUUGAGAUAACCCUAAUCCUCAACUAUAUUAAUCUCUGGGUUAAACACGGAAGGAACUAUAAUAGCCAACUUCACCCUUAAUUAUCCAUCCCAAAUAGACCCACAAUUUUUAGAUAAAUGUGAAAAACAUAUUAACAAAGAAAUAUUAUGAAGAAAUAUGAAGGUCUUUUAUUAUUUUUUAAGGUAAAAAAAAAAAAAAAAAGUAGAUAAAUGAAAUGAUGAAUUCGACCAAUAACGUUCAAACUCCAAUAAUGUUCAUGACUAACAUUAAGUUGUCUAUGAAGACUUAAAAAUUCGAUGGGCCAAAAGAUCUAAAUAUCAAUUUAUCUAUAUCAUGAUAUCUCAAAUAUGUAAUCUAUAAUUCGUUUGUUAAUUAUCAUUUUAGUCUUUAAUUUAAUUUCAAUUUCACUAAGUAUAAAUGUUACGAUUUUACUGUAUUUUUGUGUUUAAAAUGUUAAUCUUUAAAUUUAGAUUAAGUUAAAUUUCAAUUUUAUCUUGAAAUUUGAGUUUUUGUGGUGUUUAAUCUUUGAAUUUAUUGUCUUCUAAUCGAUUUUAAAUAACUGUGGAGUGGAAUUGAUUACGAAGAAUACUGAAAUUUAAUUAAAAGUAUAUGUCACUGGUAUCUCUAAUAAAAUUAAUUGAAUGUCACCAAAUUAUAGUAUGAAAUAAGAAUUUUUUUAGGCUGAAAUCUUGUAGCUGGCAGACACCUAAAUUAUUGAACCAUUAAUUGAUUCAAGUACUUGUCCAAACCCGAACACACCCACCCUGCAGUUGGGUCUUCUUAAAAAUUAGUGUAACACAAUUAAGUAUACUUUAAAAUUUCCUAUUAAUAUUUAUUUUGAUCCUCCCUGUACUAAUUUUCGCUAGUUUUUUUUUCCAUAUAAAUAUGUUUCAAAUAAAAUGAUUUUUUUCGUACCACAAAUAGCAGGGAAGAUUUUCUCACAGUUGUUAAACAGAUACAAAAUUUUCACAAGAAUGAAAAGUAUAUCUCGAUCGCAAAUAUAUUUGUUUUAUUAUAGUCCGGUAAAAAGUAUAUCUAAGUUGACCCUAUACUCAUAAACUUUUUUAUUUAUAUGUACACUUACAUACACACGAAUUUUUCAUUUCUUUGCAUUUUAAACAAUAUAUAGUCCGGUAAUUAUCUGAGCGAGAUUUAAUGAAUAAAAGCUGACGUACAUUUUAGAAAAAGAUUAAUAUAUGUUAUGAAAAUUUAUGUUUUCCAUAGUUAUUCUCUAUUCACUCUGUCUAAAAACUUACUAUUAUCACUUUAUCAGCUAACUAUAUUUUGACGACAUUUCAAUUGACUUGCGAUAACAAUUUAUGUAAUGUCAAAGUGAAUAUACAGUUUAAACUUAACAUAAAUAUAUACUAGCUCAUGUUCACCAUCAUGUCUAUAUAUAAUUGAAAACUCCCAUACCCUACAAUAUCAAAACUCGUUUAAUUUAUACAUGAAUCCAUAGAAUCUUUAUACUAAAAGGUAUCCGAAGUGCAUUUGUGGUUCCUGGAUGCACCAAGUUUUUUUCUUAUACCAACCUUGUGUAUCUUAUUGACCCUUUAUUUUGUACUGCAUCUAACAAAUAAGUCAGAGGAACUGCUUUUUUAGAAAACAUAAAUAAUAUCAAGAUCAAUGUACACAGACAUAUAUCCUAUCAUAAAUUCAAACAAAAUUAUCAAAAGUUUAGACAUUCAAAUCCACCACUUCUAUCAUAUUAUACAUAUUAGACCAAUGGAUAACAUAAAUUAUCAGUUUCAAUUCGUAUUUAAUUUAAAGUGAUUUUGUUUUCAUAUAUAAGUGAUAGAUAAUGCAUUCACUUUUUAAUACUGAGUUUUAUAAUAUAUAUCUUCUAACUAGCUCGCAAGUCAUAUUAAAAAGUUUUGCUCGGAUAUGUAUUUUCUACCAGAGAAAAAAAGUUAUUAAUGGCUACGUACACCUAUGAACUUUUGGAUAUAAAUUUAUAUAUAGAUAUAGUUUUCAUUGCAUGGUUUGAUGUUUUUUUCCCAUUAUUAUAUUAUAAUCGUUCUUAUAAUUAAAUCAUUAAUUUACCCUUUAUCAGCAAAUCUCUUGACAAUUUCCAUGAAAGCAAGUUCUCUUGCAUGAAGCCAAGCUCUUUCUCUUGCACAAAACUCACUCAUCUCAUGAUCAAAUCUAGCCAUUUCUUGCUUCCUCCAUUCUUCUUCUUUCAUAAUCCUCUCCUUUUCCCCAUCUUCAACGCUGCUCAUUAUCUUCUCCAUCCAAUUCUCCUGCACCUCCAUUAAUCUACUCAUCUUCAUAUCCACCAUUUUCUCUAUCUCCUCUCUCCAACUCUCUCCUUUAUUAUUAUUAUUAUUACUAACACCACCUUGAUCCCUUUUUGACACGUUGGUUUCCCCCGACUUCUCCACCUUCUUUUGAUUCAUCAUAAACGCUAUCGCUGACAGAUCGUCAUCGUGGUAGUUCCCAGACGACGACGUUUCGAAAUCAGACGAAAUUGUGAAACUUAGGCUCAUCCCCCCACCAGCUUCUUGAUGAUUCUCUCCUCCGCUGGGGUAUUUUUCGGGCGGCGGAGUUUCCGACCUGGCGAUGGAGUUUCGGUAGAAGUUGGAUUCUAUGAUUGGAGAUGAUAUUUGGUCGUUGGAUUGGCCGUAAAUAGCUUCGAGUUGACGGAAGAAUCUGUAAUGCUUCCCGUCAUGUCUACCGGUUUUACCUUCCUUUGUUUUCUUGUAGUAUUUGUAUAAAUUGUCGAACUUCUCUUUGCAUUUCUUCCCGCUUCUUUUGUAGCCGUAUUCCUCUGCCAUCAACCUGUAAAAUAAAAUAUGUCUAUAUCAAAUUCAUGCAUGCAUAAAUAUUGUUUUUUUACUGUUAAAUCAUCGAGUAAGUAACUUAUGGCUGAACAUGAAUUUAAUACUAUAUCAACAACUUAGUUUUUUAUUAAAAUUUGUAGAAGAUUCAACCAAAUGUAUAUAAAAAGUCUAGCAUGUAUUCAACAUGCAUGCUCUCCACAAUUCGACAGUGAUUUCAACUCAUCGGGUAUUACACAAAUUUUCAAACCUACAAGAGAAAGAACUGAGAAUUUAACACACCCCACCAAAAGCUUUUGAAUAAAUGGGUGGUAGAACAAAUGGUAAUACUUACAUGCAACCUAUUGCACCCACCUCCCUACAAACUACAAUCCUUCUAAUCACACAAAGAAAAUAAAAUAUUGAAAAGUAUUAAUUAAAAAAUUCAAGUGAAAUUUUGUGAUAGUGUUACACACACAGAUAUAUAUAUAUAUAUAUAUAUAUAUAUAUAUAUAUAUAGAAAUACGACUGUGUGAUAGUUAUUCUGAGCACUGUAGUUAUUUUCCAAUUUUCCUUGUGGUACAAGGGAAAAAACACAAAGAAAACAUAGGGAAACUCUAUCAAGGAUUUACACCAUCAAAUUUAGCCUCUGUAUUUUUAAAUUUGUAAUAAUAGCUUUUUUUUAAAAGUUUAGAAUUUUGCAAUUUAAUUGAAGUACGACGUGAAAUUCUGUUCAAAUUAUGUUAACACAUAUUUGAUAUCUGAUUAGUUUUAUGAACUACAUAUCAUGACAAGCCUUUAUUCUAUAAAUCCUUACACUCUUCACAAUAUAUAGAGACUUAUUUUUUGUUACAAAAUUAAUGUAAAACGACUCAAAUAUUAGGACGUACUAAAAGUUUAAGGAUUAAUUAUUAUAAAAUUAAGUUUGGAGGAGAAAAUAGUUGCAAAGUAAAAGCUUAAGGACAAAUUUAUCAUUUCAUAAAAGUUUACAACCUAAGAACGUGUUUGACCUUUUUUUUUAAAUUUCCAAUGCAUGCAUAAUCAACACAGAAUACUCAAUGACCUUAAUUAAAUAAUAGGUUCUACUAAAUGAAGAAUUUGAACUCAUGGCCUUGUGCUUAGAAAAUGUGUUAAAAGACCACUAAAUUUAGAAGCUAAAAUUAAUAAGUUACAGUAAGUUUAGUAUUAAGACUCAAAUACAAGUUUAGUUAAUGAUAUUUGAAGUUGUGUUGUUAGUUUUUCAAGGUUACUUUCCAUAACCAUUUGAGUUUUAAUUUUUUAAAAUUAAAUGUACAGAUAUCCUUUUUAAAAAGUCAGCUGAUUAUAUGCUUUUUAGGCCACUGUUUAGAAGAUCAAGCCAAUCUUUUUAAACUCCAAAAGAAAAAAAAAAGUUUUUAAAUUUUGGUUAAGAAAAUUGAACUUCUUUUUAAGAAGUAUGCAAACCAGAAAAUUAACUUGGUUUCUAAAAAUAAAUAAUGAAAGGGUUAUAAAAUCCACCUAAAAUUUGUAUUGUUGAUUAGAGAUAUAUAAUUAAAAGUGUUUUAGACACAAACUACUAUUUAUAAUUUAAUAUAUCUUUUAAGUUUUAUUAAUAAUCUGAACACUUUAUACAGGAAAAGGGUAUAUUAUGCAAUAUAUAUAUUAAUCAAUAUUAAAGUAAUUAAAUGUUGAUAAAGUGGAAUUACCAAAUGUUAUUUAUAGCAAUUUCAUUUUAAAUUUACUAACAUUGUUUUCUUCUAAUUUUGGUUUUUGGUUUUAAUUUUUUAACAGAAUGACUUGUUUUUUUAAACAUAUUAAUGAAUGGAAGUUUAAUAAUAGUGUUAUUGUUUAUAAACAUUAAUUUUUAAAAUCCAAAAACCAGGUUAGUUAUCAUAUGAACAUUUAAAGUUUGUCUUCUUCCACCUCUAACAAGCUGUAUAUUUUGUUUGGAUUAAGUCAGAUUUUUUAUAUACAUUGUUUAGUUGUAAAUUAAUAAACAAAACAUUCCUUUUUGGUUUUUUUUAAGAACAUUCCUUGUAGUGUACUGAUUAGACCACUCUAAAAAUACAAUCUUUACUAACAUAUAUAUUUACAUUAAUUCAAAGUGAAGAGUUUACAAUAUAUACAUAAAUAAUGAUAUAUGCAUAUAAAUCAACUCAUCGAAAAACACACACAAAAAAAUGAAGAAAAAUAAAGUUGAAAAAAAUGGAAAUAAAACACAUGGCUGUCCUUUUCAAGCAAUAAAUAAUGUUAUUUAAGUAUAAUUUAAAAAUAUUAUUAUAUUAAUCAAUCCAAGAAAAUUAAAAAAUCAAGAACAAUUGAAAGAUAUCUAAUUAAUGUUUGCAUUUCAGAAUUCUAGUUUUUUUUUAAAAAAAUAUAAAUUAAUCAAGAAUGAGAAGAUCAUAUAGAUUAAAUUGAAAUUUAAUUUGAGUAAUAAUAAAUAAAUAAAUAUACCUAGAAACCUGAUCCCAAAGGGGACCUUUCUGAUUACUCUCUUUGAACUUGGAAUCAAGACGAGAUCUGAUCUCAAGAAGAGUAAGAGUUUCCUGUCUUGGCCAUCUACUGUUAAAUCCAUUGCUUCCUCCAACGACGUCGUUCCCAUAAGGACUACACCAUUCGUUAUCAAUUACCAACUUAUUCCGCCGCAAAAAUGGAGCUGAUGAUACGGUAGCGUUGGCAGCCGUGGAAGACCCACCGCCGCCUCCCGUAGCGGUGGAAUUGUCUGAACAGCCAAAGUGAAGCAGACCGGUUGGCUCGGUCAGGACGAGCUGGAGAGGCUGGAAUUUAGGCGGUGGUGGCACCGGAGAGAAUCCACGUGUCAGGUGGGAGUGAUGGAGGAAAAAGGAGUCUAGGGUUUGUGGGGUGGCCGGAAAGUUGGGUUUGUCGUCGGCCAUGAGGUGCCGGAGAUCUGGGUGUGUGAAUUUGUCGGACAUUUCGAGAAGGAUUGGUUUAAUGGGUUUGUGAGUGAAACUGAAGUGAAGAAGCAGCUGGCUAGCUAGAGAAGAGAAAAAAAAUAUGAGGCUUUAGACUGAGGGGACAGGAUCCGAGUCUUCCGCAACUUAAUUUCAUUAGAGAGAAAGGGGCUUUGGGAUGUACUUAACCAAUCAAUUUUCAACACGUGUAAAAACAUUACACCAACAUGAUAAACUCACCUUUGUGGGUGAUUUUUUUUCUUAGUUUGACAGUGUGUUUAUUUGAAUUAUCUCAUCUCCUAGUUGAGGUAUGAUUGAAUUGGUUGUAGGCUGUUAAAGAUGAUUUAAUGUUAGAGAAAUUAUUUGAACCUCGAUUAAACUGUUGUAAAUAUCUAUAAAUAUAGUAAUAUAUGAUCAUUAUACGCCGUAGACUACUAUUUAUCCUUUUAUAUUUGAAUAAAAAUAAAAUCAUACAGUAGUCAAUAAUAUACUUCUUUUUAUAUACUAAAUAUACCUCUACUACUAUGACAAUAGUGUUAUUUAUAAUAUAUAUGUGAACAAAAGUAUACUAACAACAAUUCUGUUCAAACUUCAAAAUGAUAUUAGACUGUUUAAUAAAAACUUACGUUUGGUAAGCCAUCUAAAUAAACAUUAAAUAAAUUAAAGUAUACGACAUGAAAUAAGAUUUUAUAACUUUUUCUUCUAAAAUUUCAAAUUAUUCAAGAGACUGAUAGGAUGAAAAUAUUUAUUUUUUAGAGAAUCCAAAAUUUUGUAAUCUAGUAUUUAAAGAAAAUGGUCAUUUGGCUAAACUGAUGUCAUGCUUCAUCAUCCCAAUCUAUCGUCACAUUUACCCAGCGUGUAUCGGGCUAUUUAAUAAUAAAAUUUAUGCCCAGCCCAUCAUAUUAAUUAUUUUCUCAAUCAAUUUUUAUCUAUAAAUAUACCUUUUGUUUUUUUAUUAUUACUUAUUUACUUUUUUUAAGGACUACACCUUUUUAUUUG